CUCAAAACUGUGGCUGUGCGCCAAACUUGUGUUGCAGUCAACAUGGUUAUUGCGGUCAGGGUAACGAUUACUGUGGCACUGGUUGCAAAGAAGGCCCUUGUUUCUCCAAGUCUCCCACUGGUGCUUCAGUUGCCUCCAUUGUUUCACCUCAGUUCUUCAACGGGAUAAUCAACCAAGCUCGUGCAGAUUGUGCGGGCAAGAAAUUCUAUACACGACAAGCUUUCCUGACUGCACUUGAUUCCUUUCCCGAUUUCGGAAAAUUGGGUUCUGAUGUUGAAUCCAAGCGUGAGAUUGCUGCAUUCUUCGCCCAUGCCACCCAUGAGACUGAGUGUAAAGCUCUUUUUCCUUUGAACUAAACUACGGAUUCAAAGCUCAUUAUAUAGUCCUAAAGCUGAUGUCUUUGUAUAUAUUCCUAUAUUUGCAGUCUUUUGCUAUAAAGAAGAGCAGGAUAAAAGUAAUAGCUACUGUGAAGCCAAUCCAAAGUUCCCAUGUGCACCAGGGAAGUCCUACCAUGGUCGAGGACCGCUUCAGCUUACAGGGAAUACUAACUACGGGAACGCAGGGAAUGCUUUGAAGCUGGACUUAUUGAAAAAUCCUGAAAUGGUGGCCAAUGAUCCUGUUGUCUCAUUUAAGGGUUCAUUAUGGUACUGGAUGGCCGCUGUCCGCCCCGUCAUCGGCCAAGGGUUCGGAGCAACCAUCAAAGCCAUCAAUGGCAGGCUUGAAUGUGGUGUUCCAGCUGCACAAGACAAAGUUCAGCGUCGAAUUCGGUUUUACACCGAUUAUUGUAAACAAUUGGGGGUUGAUCCUGGACCCAAGCUGUCUUGUUAGAGUUUUAGCGAUAUUUUCAGCUGUUUUUCUAGCAGUAUAAUAUGAACAAUUAGGGGCUUGAAGGCUACUGAUGCUGUUGAGUAGCUUUUGAUUUUCCCAGAAUAAGUUUACUGUAGGGUUCCUUUUAAGAGACCUGCUAUAGAAUAAAAUAAAGGGAAAUUUAUGUUAUUUUAUACAUUUGCCCUGCUAUGCGUCCUUAAUAUACUUAAAUUAAAUAUAGCAAUGUAAUAAAAUCGACAAACAAUUUUCUCUUAAUAUAUAGAUAAUGCGUCUAAGUUAAUAAUUGGUUUAGUUAAAGUAAAAUUUCAACACGCAUUUAGUAGUUAGAUUUGGGGCUGCUUUGUAUGGGUAUUUAUUUUCUGCAGUAAAUUUAGUUUUUUUUAAGUCUCACAUUACAAUAUUAUUAUUGUAUCUAAUUUUUUUAUUGUUAUUUUUAUAUUAAUUACAGAUAAACAUACCGUUUAUUUAAAAAGGCUCUUGAAAAAUUUAUACAGAAAACUCAUUAAAACUUUCCAUAAGUUCUCUUGUAAUUGUAAAUGAAUUACCUUAAAAAAUAUGAAAAACAAAUUCCAUCAUUUUUUAUUUCUCUCAUAUUUUUGUUAUUUAUUCAUAAUUUCUAACAUAAUUUUAAAUAAUUAUUGACAAUCUCUCAUAAUUUUUAGUAUUUUCCCAUAAUUUUAGUAUUUUCUCGUAAGGCAUGCCAUUAGAAUUUUUAGUAUGCUUUCAAAAUAAAUUGUUGACUUGAAAAAUCAAUUUUUGAUAUAAAAGAAAUAUUUUUGCAUACUAAUAAAAUUUGUUUUAUAUAUAAAAUUUAAAUUUUUUUAAAAAAUAAAGUAAAUUUUAUAAAAAUCAAUAUUUGGUAGCCUCUUAUAAUUUUUGGUACUCCAUCAUGUUUUUUGGUACUCACAUCAUAUUUUUUGGUAUUUCCUCGUGUUUUUUAGUACUCCAAAAAUUAUGAGGGAAAACCCAAAAAAAUAAAAGACGUACAAAAGAAAAAAACAUUAAGAAGUACCAAAAAUAUGAGGGAAUAUUAGAGGAUACCAAAUUUGGUUCGUCUUACUAAAUCUGUUUCAUUUAUUUAAUUUUUACUUUUAAAAAAAUUAUCAUGAAAUAUUUUUUUCCUUACAAAAUUUAGCAUGAAAAAUAAUAAUUUAAAAGUUACCAAAAUUUUUCUUUACAUCAUCCUAUUAAAAUUUCUUAAUAUUUAAAAUUAAUAUUUUUUACUCCAAAAUUAUAUCUCAUCCCAAAUCAUCAUUUCCAUGUAACACCCCUAACCCUAAACCGUCGCCAGAAGAGGGUUACGAGGCAUUACCGGACAUAUCAAACAGUUUACAAAUAAUUCUUAAAUAAAUGACAAACAUAUUAAAAUAUAAUCAUAAAUUCAUAUGUUUGUUUUACCAAUUGACUUUAUUCAUUUCUUCCAUCUCUUUUUAUUUUAUUAUAUAUUUUUUUUGUAAAUUUCGACAGCUUUUCUGCUUAUUUUUACAUAAAACCCCCUGCAACUAAAACUGCAACCAAUUUACAGUCAAUACAAAUACCAACAUAUUUUCACAUUCAAACAUAUCUAAAUCAUGCCUAAAUAUUUACUUAUUAAAUUGAUCAACAAUAGUCAUAAUACUUUAUAAAAGUUAACUAAUAACUUCAUUCAUCUCAUUUCAACUUUAGUACCCAACAUACCAUUUUAUAACUUAAUGUUUCGUUUAUCAUUCAAACAUUAGAAACUAAUUCUUUUCAAUCAAAACUUAUAAGACUCUUUAAUAAAACCUAAGUACAUGCCACAUUUACUAAAAGGAGAAGUACAUCACCGAAGUUAUGCUGAAGUCGAGAUUAAUCUGGAUGCUGAACCGAUACCUUUUUACUUCUAUCGACCUGUGCACGGAAACAACCGUACGCUGAGUAUUUCAUACUCAGUAGUAUUACUAUAAUUUAAGUUAUUUAAGUAAAAUAACAAAUAAACAUGUCGAAUUAUAUAACAAUUAAUUCAUAAAUAAACUAGCUUAUUCUUAACUUUCAUUUCUCAACAUUAACAGCUCAAUUUGGUUAUUCAUCAAUUUAAUAUCAUAUAACAUUUCUUUUGAACAUAAAUCUCUUCAUGAAUCUUUAAUUCAUUCUUUUCAUUCUCAUUUCUCAAUUUCAAUUCACUUCCCAUUUCAUGGAUAAAGUUGAUCAUUUUAAUUCAAUUAUUUUGGUAUUUCAUUUAUUUGCCCCUAUUAACAAGACUCAAACUUUGGCGGAUACACGGAUCCGACCAAACACACCAGAAUGGCACCCAGUGCCUCAUCGGAUAGUUCGAAGCAAAGUUGACACCCAGUGUCUCAUCGGCCAACCCGAAGUAAGUUGGUACCCAGUACCUUAUCGAAUCUAUCCGAAGAAAUAUAGUGACACUCAGUGUCUCAUCGACUCGAGGUCGAAGUAUCCCUGAACUCUUCCAAUCCUAUGGCCUGCCAACUAUAUCCGACUCAUCCCGACUAAUUAAUAGGGUAUUCAAAUAAUUUUCUAUUUCAAAAUCACUUUCUACUUUCUAAUCAAUAUACAAUUCAAUACCAAUACAUAUUUCAGAUAUUCACAUAUAAUCAUAUUUCGAUUCAAUUCAAAUAACUUUUCAAUCAAUACACAAUUCACAUAUUCACACAUAAUUAUAAUUUAAUCCACUUUUAUUCAAUUCAUAUUUUUAAUUCAUUCUCCAAUCAAAUUCAAAUCACUAAUUAUUUUUCAAUCAAUAUACAUUUCAAAUACUUACGUAUUUUCUUCAUUCAAUUCAAUUUGAUUCAAUCCAAAUCACUAUUAUCAUUUCAAUUGCUUACCUAAUUUUACUUACCAUGCAUUUUAAUUAAAAUAUAACAAUUAAUAAUAAAUAGAUUUGAAUUAUAGUAAUACAAACCGUGAAUCUCCCGUUUUAGUCCUCGAUAGCUUUUUCCUUUCCUUUUGAUGCCGAUGCAUCGGGUUCUUUGUUAGCUACGAAAAUAAUAGUAAUUUUUUGCUAUUAAUUACAGCAUUAAAUUAAAAUAAAUAAUUGAAUUUCUAAUCAAUUUUUACCUUACUUUUAAUUUAACCUUAACUAAUAGAAUCGGGAUAGUAAAUCAGAGAUUAGUGAAUUAAAAAUCGUAAUUAAGUCAGAUCAUUAAAUAAUUAGAAAUUAAUUAAAUAAAAUAUUAAAAUAAAUAGAAUUAAAGAUUUUAGGUUAAAAAAUUAAAAUUAAGUGUUUACAAAUUAAUUUGGUUAAAACGAAUUUUAAAAAUAAAAUCGAGUUUGAAAAUAAUUGAGAACCAAUUUGUUUUAACUAAGGUUGAUUUGAAAAAUAAGGAAAAAUUGGGUGUUUUUAAAAGGCAAUGUUUCCUCUCUUUUUUUUUUAUUAAAAAAAUUGCUUAUCUUUUUUCUCCUUAAGAACCCCCGCACCCCAUUCCCUCCCAUCUAGUUUUACAUUCAAAAAAGUUUCCAAAUUCAAAUAUGAUAUUUUCUCUUAAAAUUAACUUAUCCUUAGUGAUUUUCUAGCUGUCCAAAUACCUCAACACCAUUCAAUUUUAAAGAAAAAUCAUUAAAUCCUAAUCAAAUUCGUCAUUAUCCUUCUCAUGUCCAACUUCGAAUUAGCUUCACAACAUGUUUUUUUCUUCAAAUUGAGGUAAUCUCUUGACUUAUUAUGAUUAGAUUAAGGUUUUUGUUUUUCUAUUUCGGAAUUUAAUUAAGCUUGUUGAGAGUUUUUAAGAUUUAAAGCUUUUUAAUCAAAUCUUAAUCCAACAAUGGUGAAAUUCGAAAUAAUAAGUAAACCUACAAUUUUUAUUGAUUUCUAAUAUAUUUUUAACUAAAUAUAAGGUAUUUGAACUCAAUUUAAUGGAUCGGUAAUGAAUUUUCAAGAAUUUCAAAAUUUCCCUUUUUGUAUGUUCAUACAAACUUGAUUUUCUGAAAAUUUUAAAUUCGUAAAAUUAGGUUAAAUUAAAGGUUUAUAUUUGCAACAAUAGGUUAAAUAAGAUGUUUAGAAACUUAAUUAAGGUUUAAGAACAUAAAUUGAGUGAGGAAACCUCAAAUUUCGACAAAAUGAGUUGAUUUUCGGUAUGAGAAAAGUGACCUUAGAGUAGUGAUUUUGCUAAUGUUCUUUUUUAAGGUUGUUGAUAAUGUGUCUAUAAUGUAUUUAAUGUGAAUGCAAAGUGUCAGACUCGUUGGGAGCUUUUACGAGCAAGGCAAAAAAGGAAAGAAAAGCUCGUUUGAGAUUGUUGUGUGCAAGGCAUCGACUAGGUGAGUGAUUGAAACUGUGGCUCUAAGGCACGAUUCCUAAGGUUGAAUAGGAGCUUAGGUUGGUCUAAUAACCUAACCUAAGCUUCGAGAGUAAGUAUUCUUACUUGACCUACGUGCUAUUAAAUUCGAUGUUUGUUUAUUGUGAUAUGUGAAUCAUGUGAAAUAUUAAGCAUGUGUUAUGUGUAAAUGAAAAUGAUUGAUAAGUACUUGUUGGUUUUAUGCGCACUUGAAUAAUUUAAUAUGAUUAUGGCUCUUUUGAGCAAUUUUGAUAGCAUUUGAGAGUGCAUUAAAAGUGUUGAGAAAUUGAUUGAGAAAGUGUUGUUAACAAGUGAAAGUUUGUAUAAAAUGAUGAGUGAAUAUGUGUGUAAGUGGAUAUGUUGGCAUUGUGAUUAUUUGGAACCAUUGGAUAUCAUUGGCAUAUCAUAAGAUUAUGAGUAAUCACCAUUUUUAUUAUGUGUUAAGGCAUUAUGGCCCGGAGAUAGCGUUGGAGAGAUAAGGAAAUGUCGAGCGUAGCUCUAUCAUCGUAGAUAGCGUGGUGUGUUUAGAGAGCGUGAGCAUUCAUGCUAUACUUACAUGGAGGUAACAUUCAACUUUAUGAGUCAUGGGGAGUGUUUGGAGAUCUGCUUAUCUAAUGCAUUACUGAUUAUAUAUAUGUUCCAUGUCACAUUAUGCCAAUAUAUCAUUGUGUUUACUUUGUGAUAUGUUUGAUGCUAUGUCAUGGUUGCAAGAUUUAGUAUGUUUUCUUUCAACUAUUGAUUUUAUGUCUAAUUGUGGCAAUUUUUUGUGCACUCACUGGGCUUUACCAAGCUCACAUUCCUUACUUUACCUUAUAGAUAAAUAGUUCAUGGGUUAGCGAGGAGGGUGGCAAAUUGGUGAUCUAUCAUUGCAAGACAUUUUUUUAGAGUAUGUGGGUUGAGCUUUUAAACUCUAAAGUGAAGGUAACGUGGGUUGUUCCAAUGUUUUAGUACUAGAAUUAGACUUAGACUUUUUAAAUAAAAUUUUUAACAUGUUGUAAACGGACAUUUCGAACUGUUUAAUUUUUAUUUUUUGGGAUUUUGAAUGUUUUAAUUGUUUUUUUGAUUGCUUGUCUGGAUGAUUUUAUUACUAAUUUAAUGUGAUGUUAAUCAUAUAAGCUAACGAUUUUUUUGCAACUAAGGGAGACCGCCGAAUAUUAAGGUACGCCCUAUACUUUCUAAUUGUGUGAAUGAAAUAAUUAAUUUAGAAAAACAUGCACUUAGGACUAAUUCCUAUAUGAAAUAUUCUACAAAUGUGUGGUGUGUGUAUAGUUGGUUGGUGUGGUUUGUAAAGUUUUAAAUAGAGAGUCACCUCGGUGGCUAAUGUGACGUUCGAAAUUCGAGUUGGACCAUCUCGACCGGGUUUGCGGUGUCACAUAUACCAAUUUUUCGUUUGUCUUAUAAUUUUUUUCAUUUAUUUAAAUUUUCAUAUUUUUUAAAAAUUAUCAUGAAAUAUGAAUUUUUGCAGUAUCUGAUUAAAUGCAAAAAGUACAUAUUUUAUGUAAUUUAAUUGGUCAAUUUAUGAGAAUGCACCACUGAUUUUCUCCAUUUUAUAUUGAAUUUUAUACAAGCGUGCAAUUUAAGGUCAAAAGAGAAAAAGGAGAAGUAAUUGGGCUAGAUUGAAGAAAGGAGCAAAGAAAGCAGGCCAAAACAGAAUUUUUCUAAGUUGUAAUUAGCUGAAAUUUUAUUUUGACUUAGUGGGAGAUUAUGUAGGGAUUUUGAUAUCAUGGGAAUAUUUUUUUUCCUUGAUUUUCUAUGGCUAGUGGCCUUUAAUUUGGCAAAUUUGUUCAAAGCCACUAGUACAAAUAGGGGGCUACUAUGUUCAUUUAAUCAUCAAAUUUUUCAUCAAGCUUUCAUCUUUGGAAUGCAAUCUUUCCUUUCCUCUCUCGAAAUUAUUUGUUGUCUUUGGUUACUUUACUUUCAAAAUAUUAAUUUCUAGCUUGUCACCGACCUACACUACUUACAUUUUUCUUUUUCAAACAUUUUCCUCAUUCCUUGUAACCUGAAACUAUUUUUAUACCCAAACAAAAUCCCAGCCACAUAUUAAGCCACCCACUUUUACCAUUUCAACAUUUUUUUCAUCCAACCCACUCAAGAUAUGACCAGCUCCAAUAUGCCCCAAACCUUAGUCAACUAAACCCAUUUCAGCUUCAGGUCAGUGUUAGUUUCGUCAAGAUCCAUGAGUUACGAACCCGAGCAAUUCAAUUCCUAAUUUUCAGUACUUAUUAUUUCUCUAGAGUAAGAGUAUGACUUCGUCAACUCACAAAGUCAAAUCAACACUAAGUCAAAAAAGACGUCGUUUGAGUUAGUGUGGUUAGACGUAUAGUUAGAAUUCUGAAAGGAUCAAUUGUCUAAUCAGUUUUCCGUGAACACAUUGGCGUGCCAAGUGGGGAUUGUUGUUUGGUUCCGUCAAGGGAAGUAGUAUCCGGAUUUAAAUGUCCCACGCGGUUGAGGACAUUGGUUCGAGCUAGGCUGUUCUAGAACGCAAGGCUACUAGAGUUCUAAACCACGAACGUUUCGUUGGUUGUUCGAUCGGUAAGGGUUAGUUAUAGGACGUUCCAUAACUAAUUUACACAAGGAAGAGUUGGUGUCCGAGGCGUCCUUGGUAGCUAUAACUAGCUUAUUGGAAAAGAGGAGUUCAUCUAAUUUCGAGGAUCGGUUCAAAGACGAGGAAAAACCUGUACCUGAAGCUGAGCUAAGUUUAAUUAAUUUUUCUUCAGAUUUACUUAACUGUUUUUAUUAUUUAAUUGUUUUCAGCUUUUACUUUUUACACAUUUUUCCCUAUUUAUUUAAGGUUUUCAAAUUUUAUCCCCCCCAAAUUUCUUGGGCACGACAACUGCCCAGACAUACAUCUGGUCGAGAGAGAGAAACAAUUUUCAAUAAAUCCAGUCUCUGAGGGAUCGACCCUACUCUCUAUACCGCUCAAGUUUGCAAAUUAGGUGUAGGAUUAUAUUGGUGGAAUCGACACCCAUCAGUACCAAUUUUUAGUAUUAAAAAUUAUAAUUUCACAGUUACAAUUUUUUCCAUUACAACAUCUCAUUGAAAUUUUGUAAGCACUAAAUUUUGUCCGGGUUUUGUCGUGUUUAAUUUUUUUUAAAUUUCAAAAAAUACAAAAAAUAAAAAUUACAUUUUGACCCCUAAACUUCUUGAAAUCGCGUUUGACCCCUAAAUUUUCCUAAAAUUAUAUUUUGACCCCUAAACUUUUUGAAAUUACAUUUUGACCCAUUAAAUUUUUGAAAUUACAUUUUGACUCCUAAAUUUUCUAAAAAUUAUAUUUUGGCCACACAAGUUUUGUUGCAUUUACAAUCUGGUCUUUCUGGCAACUAAACGUGAUUUGCGCACCUAAUCCCAAGAUUUCCGGCCACCGGCCUAGGUUAUGGCCUCCCUUCUCCUAGCAACCUGCCACCUGCAAAAAGAAGCAAAGAAAUCACUAUAAAAUGGGUUUAAAACCCCAAAAUCAAGACCCCCUACAAAACGAAAAAGAAAAAAAAAGAGCUUUUUCGAAAAAAGAGAAGAGAAGAGAAAGAAAAGAAAAAGAAAAAAAGAGGAGAAGAGGAGAGCCUCCGACGGCGGCCCAACGGCAGAGACGACAGUAGCGGCGACGUGAAAGAGGUGGCAAGGCAAGCUAGGGUUUUGAGAAAGAAGAAGGAAGAAGAAGAAAAAUAAGAAGAAGAAGAAAGGAAAAAAAAGAAAGGAAAAAGAGAAAAAAAGAAAAUAAAUUUUAUUUAAAAUAGUCGGGUCGCCCAAAAAAAAAAUACAGCAGCAAAAAAGAAGAGCAAAAAAAAAAGUAGCCCCAUAGCAGGCCAGCCCAAGCGCAGGCCCAACCUAGCGCCAGGCCUAACAGCAGGCCUAGCAGGCCAGCAGACCCAUCCCAGCACCAGCAGGCCCGCAGGCUCUUUCCAGCAGCAGGCCCAACAGCUUGCCUAGCCCAGUCCAGAAUAAAGGAAGGAAAAAAAGGAAAAAAGAAAGAAAAAAAAGAAAAAAAAAGAGAAAAAGAGUAAUGAAAAAAAAGAAAAAAAGAAAAAAAGGAAAAAGGGUUGUGUAUUCCGUUCAUCAAGCUCGUAUUUUUGAGUUUUUGGUAAUUUUUUUUACCCACUUUUAAUUUAAUUUACGUAUUUUUAUGACAUUUCAUCUUUAAUAUUCUUGGUUUUUUUAGCAUUUUUUUAUACUUCGUAUUUAAUUUUAUUAUUUUUAAUUUUCAUAAAUAAGGCGACGAACCGAUUUAACAUUAAGUCGUAUAUUUUCAUCGCUAUGUUGGGUGAAUAUAUUUGGCUCGUGUUAAAUUCAGGACCCCCUUUUAAAAAAAUAAAAAAAAUUAAAAAUUCUCGUGUUUUGAAAUAAAAUAUGUAUUUUUGUAAUUAUCGGUAAAUUUAUCAAAAUUUUAUCUUUAAAAAUGUAUAUAGUACGAUAACAUGUAAUUUAUCAAAAUUUUCGCAUUUUUAAAAAAAAUUGUGUUUUCGUAUUUUCAACAAAUUCUCGUGUUUUAAAAAAAAAAUAUUGUGUUUCAAUCGGAUCACGAUUAAAUAUUAAAUUGAACUGGUAUUUUUGAAAAUUAAGACAACACGCGCUUAACGAGAUACCAAUUUUGGGCGUCGCGAGGGUGCUAAUAUCUUCCUCGCGCAUAACCGACUCCCGAACUAUAAUUUUCUCUGGAUUUUUUAACGUGGACCUAAAAUUGACUCUUUUAAAGAAAAUUUCAAAAAUUUAUCUUUUAAAAAGAGAAUUUAAUAGGUGACCGAUCACACAUAGAAAAAAAAGAUCGGUGGCGACUCCCUUUUUUAAAUAAAAUCGAGACUCUGCUUUUAAAUUUUCCAUAAUCACUUUGACUAGCACCUGUGCGAAAAUUUUUAGGUCGCUACAGCUGGCGACUCUGCUGGGGACGAUUUUUGAGAGUCGAGUUUGAUGUUAAACGCGUGUUGUCAAAAUUUUCAAAAUUCCUUGUUCAAAUUAAUUUUUAAUCGUGAUCCUUGAACUUUAUUUUUGAAAAGUCAUACAUCUGCAUCCGGUUUGUAAAUUAAUAUUUUUCUAACUUAUUUUAUUUUUCUGUUUUUUUUCAGCUCUAAGUUUUACGUUUUUUUUAGUUUGUUUUUUUAAUAAAAAUAAAAAAUAAAAAGUAAAAAGGUUUGUGAGUUUCUCCCCACACACCAUGCAAUUGCAUUCUUGCAUAACAUGAGCUCUCUACCCAGACUUCGUCCGUUUAAGUGGAAGUAAACGCUACGCCUUCGUGAGUUAACUCGUCCCUCCUUACAAGCUAGUGAAUUACUUCCGGGUUACAUAUGACUUUUGCUUUCGUGAGUCAACUUGUCCCUCCGCAUAGGCAUAAGUAAAUGUAACUCCUCGAAUUGAGCUUGCGAGCCCAUGACGGGUGAUAACCGAGGCUCCGUACUAACCUUAGUAGGUGACAGUAUGGACAAUUCGACUACCUUUCUAGAACCAAAACCACAUAUAGUGAACCGUACGAGCCACCCGGUUAGAGCCAUGUCAAACCUCUGUCUGUUGGAUAUUUACCAAAUAAGUACAUGGGAGAAACGUCUCUUACCUUGUAUUUCUUUUUCAUUUACAUCUUUUGCAAGGGAAUCAGACCUGUUUAAUAAAAUUGGAUCGGGUAGAUUAUCUGAUAAGUAUGUGGGGUAGGUUUCUCGUAAAGCAUGAUGGGGCAAAAAGAAAACAAAAAAAAAUUGGGUCUGUUUCACCAAAUUGCAUGAUUGAAUAGCUUAAUUUGUUAGAUUUUCCAUAGUUUUUAGUUAUUUCCUCUGUUUAUAUCUGUUUUGAUUACUAACCAAGGUUAUUUAUCUUCAUUUUAUUUCUCGUCAUGUAUCAUAGGCAUUUUAUUAGGAAGGUGUUGAUAAGAGAUUGGUUGCCAAAAAUGGGUUUCUGAUGGAAGAGCCAAUUACACAAGUAACUGAGAAAAAUGCUGUAGUCCAAGAUUGGUCUUCAAGGAUUCAGAUAGUAAAAGGGGACAAUUUAAAAGAAGGAUACAUCUCUGAUCUUCCCGAGCAUGUGACUUCGAAUGCUCGUCAGAACAAUCUCGAAUACUUAACGAGGAUUUGGAAAUAGUGGGACUUAGAUACCAGAGUUUUCUUUACUGAAAAGUACGGGGAUAUAGCUCACUUGAUAGCAAUCAAUGUGAACGAGCAGUUGAUUCAAGCCAUGGUUUGAUUCUGGCACCCAACUUAUCAGUGUUUCACUUUCAAUCAGGAAGACAUGACUCCAACCAUAGAAGAGUAUGCCGCCCUGCUCCGCAUUGACAAUGUGCAACUCAACAAGAUAUAUGUGAAGGAGCCUAAACCAAUGACCUUCAAGAAAAAGUUAAUGAAGCUGACGGGGAUGGCUGAUACAUGGGUUGAGAAAUAGAUAAAGAAGAAGAAUGAAGUCAGUUGUGUUUCGUGGUUCUCUCUUCGGGAGUUAGUUCAGAAUCAUCCAAAUAUUUUGAAGAGAAUGGAUCUGUUUUCCUUGGCCGUUUACGGACUGAUCGUCUUCCCAAAGGUUCUUGGGCAUAUUGAAGUGGCGGUAGUGGAUUUUUUCGAAAAGUUGAGGUAUGGAAUCAAUCCCAUCCCAACCAUCUUGGCCAAUACUUUUAGAUCUCUAAAUAAUUGUAGGAAGAAAGGGGAAAGACGUUUUAUCGGAUGCGCUCAGUUACUUAAUGUUUGGAUUUUUAGUUACUUUUGGAAAGUGGAGCGCACACCUUUCCAUAUGUUUUCAAAAACAUUCGCUCCUUUAGAAGCACACAUUGAAAAAGAUUGGCCAAAGGAUGUCACUGAACAGCAUUGGGUCUCGAUUUUUCAGAACCUUCGUGCUGAAGAUGUAACUUGGAGAGCACAUUGGAUUUGUCCUUCUGUUUUGUUAUAUAAGUGUGGAAACCUAGACUGGGUACCUUUGCUAGGAUUGUGGGGAGGAGUUGGAUAUGCUCCAUUAAUGGUUCAAACAUAGGUCGCUUCGCAACUGUUUGUACCAGUUAUUGAUGGAUUGGCACAUUCAGAGUUUGCCUUUACGGGUGAGGGUUACAUGAAAAGGGUUCGAGAUACUGCGAAUUCUUGGAAGAGAAUAUACCUCAUGAAAUUGGCUUUCUAUGCUGAUACUCUCACUGUAGAUUAUGAUAUAUGGAGGCAACGACGAGUGAAGAGUCAACUGACCACGCUGAUUGAUGAUGCUUGCCGGAAUCCAUUCUCAGAGGAAAUGCCUUCCGAGCUGGAAAUAACAAGACAUGAAUUUGAAUAUGAAAAAGCCAAACUGUUACGAGAUAUUAGUUCUCUUCAAGAGGAGAACUACAAGCUAAAUAUUGAUGUUGAAAUUGAAAAAUCCAGAGCCGAGAAAGUCCAAAAAGAAGUUGAGGUCAUGAGAAAAGAUUUAAGAGACAUUCAUUUGGAAAAUAAGAAAUUAAGAGGCAUUAUAAAGAAUAGUGGAUUGGGCAAAUCAUCGGCAGAAUGGAAGGAAGAAUUAAUCAAUAUUAAAGGUGGGAUGGAAUUCUAGAAAGUAAAAGUAAAGGAGGAGGAGGAAAGAGCUGCACGUGCUACGAUAGAGUUAAGGAAGAAGAAUGCUGAAUAUGAAGCUGUGUUUACAGAAUUAACCGCUAGUCAGUCUGAGCAUCAGGAGCUAAAAGUGAAAAUCCAAAGUUUAGAAAGUGCACUGCAAGCUUAUCAGCACCAUUUGGAUGACCUCCUAAGAGCUCUAGAGGAUAAGAAUGAUCAGCAUGACAGAGACAUUCGUGCCUACAAAAGAGCGCUCCAAGAAAAGGAUAUACAUCUCGACGGCUUGAUCAAUGAAAUUCACAAGGCAGUUUUGCAAAUUGUGCAAUUAUCAGAUCAAGCCGAAGCUCUCAGCUGCCAAUUCCCUCUGAGCCAAAGAUCAAGUAUGUCAGAGUUCGUAGAAUGAGUGAAGAAACAAGGUGAUAUGGCUAGGAAAUUUAUGUAACUGUUAAAUCUGAAAUGGCAAAACAUUUUGUAAUAGACUCCUUUGAUUAAUGAAAUGCCUCAGUAUGGAACUAUCUUGAAAUCAACACCAAAUUCUUGCAUAUUUAUUCAUGACUAACAUUCAUUUGUCAUUUAUUCAUUCAUCCAUUCAUUGCAUGUACAUAUCACUAUAAUCAUUCACUAAGGCUAAAAUAGUAUAAUCCACAGUUGCGACACAAGUUUGGAAUCACGUCAUCCUUACAGGACACGUCUAAGAACUAGAACUAUGGAUGCUGAACUUAAUGAAAGAAUCGAAAGGAUAGAAAGGAUUCAAAGAGAGUUACAAGAACAAUUGGCCAAGUCACAACAAGAGGCGAGAGAUAUGAUGGUGAGAUUUCGUGAAGAAUCACUUGAGCAAAGAGAUCAAAUGGCCAAAAUGAUAGAAAUGAUGACAGCUUUGGUCAAAGGACAGGGACUCAUGCAGAGCCCCGAUAUCGUAGAGCCCCACUCAAGAGCUAAUCAAGAUCCACCUUAUCUCCCGGGAUUCACUCCACCUCAUGUCCACGCAAUGCAAAGAGGAUAUCCCCAAAGGGAACCUACAAUCCUAGAACAACAUCCUGCACCAUCAGCUUACAUAGGGCAAGGGAUGUUUGUAUCGAAUCCCAGAGCUAAUCCUACAGAUCCAAUUGUUCCAGAUUUGGAUGAUCCGAUAGAAAUAGCAAGGUUGAAGGUUGAUGAUCAUGAUACUCAAGAUAGGUAUAGAAUAUUGGAAGAAAGGCUCAAGGCAAUAGAAGGUACUGAAGUCUUCUCUGCAUUGAGCGCCGAAGAGCUCAGUUUAGUACCCGAUCAGGUUUUACCCCCGAAAUUCGAGGUGCUAAAGUUUGAAAAAUAUAAUGGAACGAGAUGUCCAAAGACACAUCUUAUCAUGUUUUGUCGAAAGAUGACUGGCUACGUUAAUGAGGAAAAAUUACUGAUACACUGUUUUCAGGACAGUUUGGUUGGAUCGGCUCUUCGGUGGUAUAAUCAGCUUAGUAGAGAAAAAAUCCGAUCACAGAAAGACUUAGCAUCAGCGUUUUGCGAGCAAUACAAGUAUGUAUCAGAUAUGGUACCUGAUCGACUAACCUUGCAGAUGAUGGAAAAAAACCCAUGGAGACUUUUAAACAAUAUGUGCAAAGAUGGAGGGAUGUUUCAGCUCAAGUGGAACCUUAAGAUAAGUUAGUAGGAAGCGCCACGAAAGACUUUGCAGACAUUGCAAUAUCUGGGGAGCUUAUAGAGAACGCCAUCAAGAGCGGGAGGAUGGAAGGCCCUAAAAGUUCAAAAAGGGCAGUACCCGCAUGAAAAAAGGAGGUAGAAACCCAUAUGGUUGGAAAUGCAGGCCACCAUACUUCCAACCCUUACUCAUCCCAACCACGACCUUAUUACUGCCCGCCUUCAAACUUUUACUUUCCUCCUCAAGGUCCUUACUAUCCAACACCUUCUCCUUAUCCUGUAUAUGCCUUGAAUAAUCAAAGAUUGUUCGUCAUGUUUCCACCAAACACCAUGCUCACACAAAGCCAACCUAAAAAUGACCAAAGACCAGCAAAACCUAGUUUUGCAAAACCUCAGUUCACCCCAAUUCGUGUGCCAUACGGAGAAUUAUACCCGAAACUAUUGGAGAAACAAUUAAUAUCCCCACAUUACAUGGCACCCCUGAAGCCCCUAUAUCCGAAAUGGUAUGAUCCUAACACUAGUUGUAUGUAUCAUGCUGGAAAUCAAAGGCAUUCUACAGAAAAUUGUCUUGCCUUUAAAAGGAGAGUUCAAGACCUUAUUGAUGCAGGUAUUCUACGUUUUGAUGGUGUUAGUAAUGUGGCUGGAAAUCUUCUUCCUAACCAUACUGAUGGAAAUGUGAAUGCUAUGACAAAUGAAGACGGGAGGCGAGCCAAAAGCUGUGUUGCUAAAGUAAAAACGCCUUUGCGAAAGGUAUGAAAAAUGAUGGUUAAAAAGGGUUUGCUCUGUCCUCAAAACAGAUUUGUCAAAUAACAAAACAUAAUAGGUCUAAGUUUUUGUGACUUCCAUGGCACUGGUGAGCAUGACAUCCAAUCUUGUAAGGGAUUUCGAAAACUACUUCAAGAUAUGAUGGAUGACAAAGAGGUCAAGAUUUUUGAUAGAAUAGAUGAGGCUAAUGAAGGAGAAAUAUGCGUCUCUGAUGAUCAACCAUCAGCUAUCCCUUACAGCGCUGAUUGACCUUUUGUGAUUUAUUACGAGACGAAGAAGGAAGAAGUCAAACUAAAUGUGAUAAUUGAGGUGCCAUUUCCUUUCCCUUACAAGGACAGUAAGGCAGUAUCAUGGAGAUAUGAUGUCAAUAUUGUUGUUCCCGAAGGUGAAAAGUCAAAGGCUAUGGCUGGAAGCGUUAGUGGGGUGGGACACUUUACCCGUAGCGGUAGAUGUUAUUCUCCCGAAAUAGUUAAACCAAAGAAGAAAGCCAUUGACUCGAAUCAAAAAGGAAAAACAUCAUUGCAAGAGGAUGAGAUCAAUGUUGAAAUACCAUCUGAAUAGGAAGUUAAGAGACUUGUGAAUGAGGAAGAAGCACAUGAAUUCUUGAAGGUCAUCAAUCAUAGUGAAUAUAGUGUUGUAGAGUAAUUAAACAAGCAGCCAGCGCGAAUCUCGGUAUUAUCUCUACUGUUGAACUCAGAGCCACAUCGAAAUGCCUUGCUGAAAGUGUUAAACCAAGCUUAUGUGGCAAGCACUAUAUCUGUAGAAAAGCUUGACAGGUGGAUAAAUAAUCUGAAUGCGGAUAAUUUCAUCUCUUUCAGUGAUGAUGAGAUACUGCCAAAUGGUAGGGGCUCUGUUAAAGCACCACAUUACAACCAGUUGCAAGGGUUACAUAGUACCGAAUGUGCUCAUCGAUAACGGGUCCACACUAAAUGUCAUGCCUUUGGUCACACUUUCUAGGAUGUUAGUUGAUAUGUCUUAUCUAAGGCAUUGUCAUUCCACAGUAAGGGCAUUUGAUGGACACGGCGACACGUUAUGAGAAAGAUCCAAAUUCCUCUAGAGGUGGGCCUGUAUGUAUAUGAUAUCGAAUUUCAACUCACGGAUAUCAUGCCUUUAUACAAUUGCCUUUUAGGGAGGCCUUGGAUUCAUUCUGCUGGGGCAGUUCCUUCAUCUCUCCAUCAAAAAAUAAAGUUUAUCAUGGAUAAUCGUUUGAUUACUGUCGCUGGUGAGGAAGACAUUGUCGUAUUUAUUUCUUUUGAUACACCAUACAUUGAAGUAAGCAAGGAUGCCGAGGAAUGUUCUUUUCAUUCCUUUGAAUUCAUCAAUGCUACAUUCAUCACCGAAGGAAACAAGGUUCCCACACCCAAGUUGUCAAAGAAUACCAAUUCGGGAAUUAAGUUGACUGUGGGAAAAGGAGCUCGAGCGAGAAAAGGUUUGGGAAAAUAUCAGCAAGGGAUAGUUAGAGUAUUGAAACCAAUUCACCACAAGUCUCGAUGCGGUCUGGGGUUGGAGCCAGAUAUAAGUAAAAAAAGAAAGCAAUUAUAGAAAAAUCGAAAAAGAAGAAUCGCAAGAGCCUUAGGUCGAGAAUUUGAAUGGGAGCCGAUAUCGUAUCCUCCCUUAUUAGAAACAUUUAUAUCGGCAGGGGUGAUGUACCCAGGGCAAGACAAUCCACAAAUCACAUUAUUGAUUGAAAAGAGUUUUUAGAGUAUCAGUAUAAAUGUGGUUGACAGCGAGGGUGAUGCAAUUGAGGAUGUUUCAAUGAUACGCCCAUGUCCUAUAAGAUAUGCUUUAAACAAUUGGACUGCUGUGGACCUUCUUGUAAUUUCUAAGUCCUCUCUAGAGUAAUGCCCAAUGUUAAUUCUCCAUUUAUUUUGUGUACCCCUAAAUAGUGGGAGUCCUUUUGUAAGAGCUUAUGUUUGCUCUUUUUCAUUUCAAUGAACAUUAAUGAAGAUGCAUUUUGUCAUGAUCUUUUCAUUUCCGUCAGUUUCAUAAUUACCCUAUUGCUUCAUAUCCUUUCUCUCCGUGUAUUUCAUAUCAUUUCAUAACAUUGUGUGUAUUGAUUCCAAUACUUUAAUGCUCCUCUAUAGUUUUCUUUCCCGUUCACCUUUCAAGUGCUCAGAUAUUCAUGGCAUGAACAAUCCCGUUACAAUUCUUGAAAUUGAUUUCGAGAAAGCUAUUUGUUUAGGAGAAUUCGAAGCCAAAGAAAGUGCUAAAUAUUGUGUCCCGUCUCCUUACUUAUUGAGAAUGGUAGAAAAAGAAGAGAAACAAAUUUUACCCCAUCAAGAAUAUGUUGAGACAGUGAAGUUAGGAAAUGAAGAAAAGAAACAAUAAGUGAAGAUUGGGACUUCCAUUUCAGAAAACACCAAACAUAAUUUGAUCGUCUUACUCCGUGAGUACAAAGAUGUAUUUGCCUGGUCUUAUCAGGACAUGCCAGGGUCGGAUGAGGAUGCAGUGGUCCAUAGGCUCCCACUGAAACCAGAAUGCAAACCCGUUCAACAAAAGCUAAGAAGGAUGAGACCUGAAAUACUGUUAAAGAUAAAAGAAGAAGUCAAGAAACAAAUUGAUGCUGGCUUCUUACAAGUCUCUAAAUAUCCAGAAUGGGUAGCUAAUAUAAUCCCGAUUCGAAGAAAGAUGGCAAGGUACGAAUGUGCGUUGAUUAUUGUGAUCUUAAUCGAGCAGGCCCUAAAGAUAAUUUUCCUUUGCCACACAUUGAUACAUUGGUAGAUAACACGACAAAACGUUCAUUAUUUUCUUUCAUGGAUGGUUUCUCAGGUUACAAUCAGAUAAAGAUCGCCCCCGAAGAUAUGGAGAAAACCACAUUCGUGACAAUGUAGGGAACGUUUUGUUACUAAAUGAUGCCAUUCGUAUUGAAGAAUGCUGGGGCAACGUAUCAGAGAGCCAUGGUGAUGUUGUUCCAUAAUAUGAUGCACAAAGAAAUAGAAGUCUAUGUCGAUGAUAUGAUUGCCAAAUCUCGGGGAGAAGAAGAGCAUGUUGGGAAUGUCAGGAAGCUGUUCGAAAGAUUAAGAAAGUUUCAAUUGAAGCUUAACCCAGCCAAAUGUACAUUUAGGGCUACCUCGGGAAAAGUACUAGGUUUUAUUGUCAGCGAGAGGGGUAUUGAGGUUGAUCCAGAUAAGAUAAAGGCCAUACAAGAACUACCACCUCCGCGUACGCAAAAAGAAGUCAGAGGAUUUUUAGGAAGGUUGAAUUACAUUGCUCGAUUCAUUGCUCAACUUACCAACAAGUGUGAUCCAAUUUUUCGACACCUUCGAAAGCAUAAUCCGGGAGAAUAGAAUAAGGAGUGCCACAUGGCCUUCGACAAGAUAAAACAGUAUCUGUCUAAUUCUCCGGUGCUAGUACCGCCAAUCCUUGGAAAACCCAUAAUAUUGUAUCUGACCGUGUUCAAAAACUCAAUGGGUUGCAUAUUGGGGCAGCAUGAUGAGUCAGGGAAAAGAGAAAAAGAGAUUUACUACCUCAGCAAAAAGUUCACAAAAUAUGAGGCAAAGUACCCGUCAAUUGAAAAAUUUUGUUGUGCAUUAAUCUAGGUAGUUCGAAGGUUUAGACAAUAAAUGUUGUAUCAUACAACAUGGUUAAUUUCAAAGGUAGAUCCAUUAAAGUACUUGAUGGAAUCACCCGCACUCUCAGGGAGAAUGGCACGAUCGUAGAUCCUAUUGUCUGAAUAUGACAUUGUGUAUGUGAACCAAAAGUCGAUAAAGGGAAGCGCGAUAGCUGACUUCUUGGCAAGUUGAGCAAUGGAAGAAUAUGAGCCGCUGAGAUUUGAUUUUUCAGAUGAAGACUUGAUAUGCAUUUCCGAAUGUGAAUCAUCAAAAGAUCAAUCAUGGAAGAUGAGUUUUGAUGGGGCAUCGAACGCAUUGGGGCACGGGAUAGGAGCAGUCUUAGUGUCACCAGAAGGAAACCAUUACUCGUUUACUGCCAGAUUGAAUUUCUUUUGUACUAAUAACAUAGAAGAAUAUGAAGCUUGCAUCAUGGGACUUCGUACUACUAUUGAACAGAAAAUAGAAAUCUUAGAGGUGUAUGGGGACUCAGUGUUAGUGAUUUAUCAAAUUCGCAGAGAUUGGGAAGUGAGAGAUUCAAAAUUAGUCAAUUAUAGCAAUCUCUUGGCAGAAUUGGUCAAAGAAUUCAAAAAAGUGACUUUUCAUUACUUCCCACGAGAAGAAAACCAGUUGGUUGGUACCCUGGCCACAUUGGCUUCAAUGUUCAAAGAAAACAGAAAACAGAAAUAAUACAUCUUCAAAUAAGCAUAUAUGAGGUCCCCGCACAUUGUUUUAGCAUUGAGAAGGUGUCAGAUGUACGACCGUGAUUUCAUGACAUCUUGGAAUAUAUUAAGAAUUAAAGGUAUCCCGAGCAAGCAAACGAGAAUGAUAAAAGAACAAUCAGAAGAAUGGCGGCUGGUUUUGUUCUUAACGGGGAUAUCCUAGACAAAAGAGGAAAGAUCAAAUGCUCUUGAGAUGCGUGGACAAUGUUGAAGCCAAAAGAAUACUUGAAGAUGUCCAUGAAGGAAUUUGUGGAACGCACGCCAAUGGGUUUACUAUUGCUAGGUAGAUUAUGAGACUUGGUUAUUUUUGGCUGACAAUGGAAAGGGAUUGCAUUAGCUACGCACGAAAGUGCCACAAGUGUCAAAUUUACGGCGAUAAAAUUCAUGCAGCUCCUUUGCCCUUUCAUGUCAUGACUUCUCCGUGGCCUUUUUCUAUGUGGGGCAUGGAUGUUAUAGGGCCAAUUUCCCCGAAGGCUUCCAAUGGGCAUCAAUAUAUUUUUGUAGUUAUAGAUUACUUUACAAAAUGGGUGGAAGCCACUUCAUUUGCUAAUAUGACAAAGAUCGCGGUCUGCAGGUUCCUAAAAAAGGAGAUCAUAUGUCGAUAUGAUUUGCCUGAGAGAAUCAUUUCAGAUAAUGCUUUGAACCUGAACAACAAAAUGAUGAAAGAAGUGUAUGAGCAAUUCCAGAUAAAACAUCAUAAUUCAUCACCUUAUUGCCCGAAAAUGAACGGAGUUGUUGAGGAGGCCAACAAAAACAUUAAGAGGAUUAUCGGGAAGAUGACUAUGACAUAUAAAGAUUGGCACGAAAAACUACCAUUCGCUUUGUAUGCAUACCGCACCUCUGUAUGGACAUCUACGAGAGCAACUCCUUUCUCCCUGGUCUACGAGAUGGAAGCUGUUUUGCCUAUUGAAGUAGAGAUCUCAUCCCUGCGAGUCUUGAUGGAGUCAAAACUAGAAGAAUCAGAAUGGGUUCGAGCUCGAUAUGACUAGCUAAACCUUAUUGAAAGAAAACGCUUGAAGGCAAUUUGUCACGGACAGAUGUACCAAAACAGAAUGAUCAAGACCCAUGAUAAAAAGGUGUGACUAAAAGAAUUCCACGAAGGGGAACUUGUACUAAGAAAAAUCCUCCCGAUACAAAAAGACUUACGAUGAAAAUGGUCACCAAAUUGGGAAGGGCCAUACGUUGUAAAAAAGACAUUCUCGGGAGGGGCUCUGAUUCUCGUUGAAAUGGAUGGGAAAGAAUUACCUAAUCUAGUGAACUUAGAUGCUGUGAAGAAAUAUUAUGCCUGAAAAAAGAGAGGAAAAAAUCAAGAUGAAAACCCAAAAAGGGCGUCUUGAUAAAACAAAAAGGAUUAGGAUGAAAACCCGAAAAGGCGUCCUAAUGAAGCAGGUUAGAACUUAAGGAGCAAGAUGACUUGAACGGGGAGUCGAAUGGCGAGAUUACAAUAUUUGAAGCAUUCUCAGAAGCUCAAAAUCUUCUACACAGGAAGCCAAGCUCGAAAAGAUCCUUCACGAAGAAACGUGGAGAAGUUAAUGCGUUGAAUAUCUACAGCCUUUGUGGCCAUUGAAUUUGCUUUCCUUUCUUUAUGAUGCUUUCUUUAUUUAAAUUACUCUUUGUUAAUUUUCUUUGUUUGUUGUUUUUGAAAAGAAUAUGAAUGUGAGGUAUUUAUUUCAUGCAUACUGUGCCAUUGUCAAGCAUCUUAUGGUUUGGUUCGUUUAAAUGAUAAAUAGUAAAAUGACAUACUCUAAAACAAAAAGAAUGUUGAGCAUUACCUGGAUGAGAAUUUGAUAAAUACAAGGACCCUGAAGCAAGAAAAAAGUUCAACAGGGGGGUAGGAAUAUGGUAUACGAAAAUGUGGGUUACUCACAGAACUUGAAGAUGAGUACAAAACUGGAGAGAAAAGUCAAGAAUUGAGAAAAUGAAUGCGGACUCUCACGAAAAUCAAAAGUGGGGCACGUGACAAACAGCCUAGGGUGCAUGGCAUGAUCAUGUAGACACAAAAACUUUUAGGACAAACACGUGCAUAUCAUAAUAACAUCAUACAUGACAUAUACAGGUAUACCAGUAGAGCAAGGAAUAUUAGGAGAAAGCUACACAGAAUCAAUGAAGAGGAAGGCUUUUAGUUUCACCUGAUGUUUUUUGAAACCUUGUUUCUUUCAAGAAAUAUUUUUUAAUUUCUGUUUUUUUCAAAAGUCAACUCAUAUUGCGAGAGGUGAGUUGAGCCUCGGGUCACAUACCGAGGUAUUUUUUUAAAUUCUGUUUUUCAAAAAUCAACUCAUAUUGAGAGAGGUGAGUUGAGCCUCGGACACAUGCUGAGGAAUUUUUUUUAAUUUCUAUUUUUUUAAAAAAACUCUACUCAUAUUGCGAGAGGUGAGUUGAGCCUCGGACAUAUACCGAGGUAUUUUUUUAAAUUUCUGUUUUUCAAAAAUCAACUCAUAUUGCGAGAGGUCACUUGAGCCUCGAAUACAUGCCGAUGUAUUUCUUUUAAAUUUCUGUUUUUCAAAAAUCAACUCAUAUUGCGAGAGGUGAGAUGAGCCUCAGGUCACAUGCUGAGGUAUUUUUUAAAAUUUCUAUUUUUUUGCAAAAAUCAACUCAUAUUGCGAGAGGUGAGUUGAGCCUCGGACACAUGCCGAGGUAUUUCUUUUUAAUUUCUGUUUUUCAAAAAAAAAAUCAACUCAUAUUGCGAGAGGUGAGUUGAGCCUCAGGUCACACGUUGAGGUAUUUUUUUUAAAUUUCUGUUUUUUUCAAAAAAUCAACUCAUAUUGCGAGAGGUGAGUUGAGCCUCAGACACAUGCCGAGGUAUUUCUUUUAAAUUUCUGUUUUUCAAAAAAAAAUCAACUCAUAUUGCGAGAGGUGAGUUGAGCAUCGGGUCACACGACGAGGUAUUUUUUAAUUUCUGUUUUUUUUUUCAAAAUCAACUCAUAUUGCGAGAGGUGAGUUGAGCCUCAAGUCACAAGUCGAGGUAUUUUUCAAUUUCUAUUUUUUAAAAAAAAAAGGAAUCGCACGCCAAGCUUUUCUCGAUUUCUAUUUUUUAAAUAAAAAUAAAAUUUUGGAUAGUCGAACAAAAUUCAGUGCUUUUAAAUCUUUGCUCUAUCCUUGUUUCACAGUGAUGAGCAAAGAGGGGCAGCUGUAAGUGUAAGGCCUAAUAUUUGCCCGGGCCCCCAAACCAGAAAUAAAUAAACAAAAAAUAAAACCAAAUUAAAAGCAAUAAAAAUAUAUAUGACAGCAGUCCAUUUUUUAAAAAAAAUGUCCAUUACAGCAGGCCUAAUAGGGCCUAAAUCAACAAUUAAACCCAAACCAAAUCUAGUCUAAAUUACACUAACCCAUUUAGCCCAAACCGAGCCCAGACCCACCGAGCCCCAAAUAACCCAAAAUUACAUCAAACCCAAGACCCGAAAAAUAGCUAAACCUAACCCAAAACCAAUUCGGCCCGAAUGGCCCAACACCAGAAAACCCUAGCAACUUGCAGCAGUUGUCGCGCCGCAAUCGAGCACGGGCCCCUCUCGUGCGUGCGUGCGAGCCUUCGCAAGAGCCAGCGCCUCCGUACAUGCCACAUCCGCAACCUCUGUACACAGUACCUACAAGAAACGGGCAAAGGAGCAGCAAAAAAAGGCAGACCACAAAACGAAAAGAGGUAGAAAUCGGUAGAGAAAAUAAAAAAAAUAGAAAGAAAAAAUUUGUAAAAACCCCAAGAUGUACCCUUUUUCGUUUUGGAGGCAAUCAGAAUAGAAAAAUAAAAAAAAACACAGUGUAAACAAAUUUUCAGAGAGAAAUCAAAAACAAAAUUCCGCAAGGUGAUUUUCAAAUCUUCCUUCGUUUUCCCUAGUUUCUUUGAUUCUUGAGCUCGGCUUUUAGUGUAGAAAUAAAAGGAGAAAGUGGGUUUAGAAAUAGGGGUACCUUGCCGGCGAAUCCUUGCUCUCUCCGUCGUCAUCGGAGCCUGAGCAGAGGUUCAGAGAUCCUUUGGAAGGAUUGAUGAACAGAGCGGCGGAGAAAAAAAGAAAGGGAAAGCCUCAGUUUUUCUUAUUUUUUAUUUCUGCUAGAAUGUUAGAUUAGGGUUUUUUUUAAUGGUAAAGCUUGAAACGCCACCGUUUGUAGCUAAUGUGAUAGCUUCGAAACGGGGCCGUUUAACCCAAACAACCCGUGCGGUGACCCGACCCAGGGGAAGGAUCCGCGCGUUUAGGGUCUGAGGGGAUUUUUGCGCAUUUAGUCCCUAUAUUUUCAUGAUGCAUUCAAAUAAGAUUUUACAUUUCGUCUAAUCUUGGCCGUGCAUUUUGUUUUCGAUCCAUUUGGGUCCGCGCAAAGGCGCUGCGUUUUGGGGAUGGGAAAUAUUUCCCUUUUGGUCCCCAUGUCAUCCGCGUGUCGCGUUUUGGCCCACCAUUUUGCUCCAGUUUUUAUUUUUAUUUUUAGAUUUUGUUUAAUUUCUAAUCUAAUCCCUUUUAAUUUAUGUUAACAUUUUAUAAAUAUCCUUCCUGGGAUUCAUUCCUUAAUAUUAUAAAUAUUUUUUAUGAUCUUAUCUUAAUUUAAUUUAUACACCUUCUUGUUGUUUUCACGCAUGUUCGUAUAUAUGUAUAUAUAAUCAAUUCCAAAAUUUCUAACAAUAAUGCUUUAUAUUCUUACACAUAUACAUAUAGUAUUUUAAUAGUAUACUUACACAUAUAAUAGUAUAUUGUUAUUAACUUCAAAUGAUAAUUUUUUAUGCAAAAGCUUUGUUCUUUUAAGUUUGUUAUUUUAUUUUAUUUAACUUUUAUAUAUAUUAUUGUUGGGUACAUACUAUUAAUUCUACUAGGUUUAUUUCACAUAAAUUAAAAUGUAUAUAUUAAUUUCAGUUGUUUUGCUUUUAUUUUACUACGUUUUAUUUCUUUGGUUUUUUUAAAAUCCUUCAUUAUAUUUUAUAUAUCCUUACUAAAUUUGUAUCAAAUAUUUGUGUUAUUUGUUGUUAUCACUCUUUUUUGUUAUCUCAUUUUUAUUGAUUAUGAAUGUAUGAGCUGCUUAAAUUUUUAUGAAUGUUUGUAUAAUAUGAUCAAAAUUGAUACUGAUAUUUGCUUUAUUAGUUUAAUUGUCACUAACUUAAGUUUAAAUUUUUAUCAUCUUUUAUAUUACAUAUGUCAUUGAUUAAUCAUAUCCUUUUUGUGAAAGUUUAUUUUUUAAAGCUUCUUAGUCGUUUUAUUUUACGAUCCUAAAAAAGGGAGCUUGGUGUUCAUUUUCCAGAGAGAAACGUGUCCUAACUUACUGGGCUUCGAUUCUUCUCGAUAAUAUUAGACAACCAAGUGCCCAUUUUUAUUAAAGCCGUUCAAUUAUUUAAAUAAAAUUCAUAAGAUUUCAGAAUGUUAGAUCCUAACUUAUUGGAUACGACAUUUUGGUAUCUCGACUUCAAAAAUAAAGGCAAUAUUUGAUGUUUAAGAAUUUCGAGAAAAUUGAACCAUAACUUACUGGGUUCGGGUUUCCCAAUUGACUUGAAUAAUCAACUAUCCUUCUUAAAACACAUGAUUUUCUUUAAAGGAGAACAAACUUAAUUUCGAAGAGCGACUAUCGCGCUCUAACUUACUGAGCGUGGCAAUCUAUCUCUUUGAAAUAAGUGAGUCUUAUCACUCAUUUAAAUUUUCUUUUUAAAUGACCCUAUUUUAAAAUAUUUACAAAAUUUCGACAUUAAGACAUUAAACAAUCAAUUCGGUACCAAUUUUGGGCGUUACGAAGGUGCUAACCCUUCCUCGUACCCGAACCUAUUUUCUCAAAUCUCGCAGACCUAAAAUUUAUUUUUAAUGGUGAACCGAUUACACCUUAAUAAAAAUUCGGUGGCGACUCUCGUUUUCAUUUUAAAAGUCGAUCCACAUUUUUUUAAAUUUAAUUUAAAAGUGGUUUCGAUAGUAAGCACUAAAUUUUCUCUGGGUUUUGUCGUGUUUAAUUUUUUUUUUAAAAUUCAAAAAUUCAAAAAAUUAUAUUUUGACCCCUAAACUUCUUGAAAUCAUAUUUUGACCCCUAAAUUUUUCUAAAAUUAAAUUUUGACCCCUAAAAUUUUUGAAAUUACAUUUUGAUCCAUAAAAUUUUCAAAAUUACAUUUUGACUCCUAAGUUUUCUCAAAAUUAUAUUUUGGCCCCAGAAGUUUUGCUGCGUUUGCAAUCUGGUCCUUCUGGCAGCCAUACUUGAUUUGCGCACCUAAUCCCCACGAUUUCCGGCCACCGGCCUAGGGUAUGGCCUCCCUUCUCCCUAGCAACCUGCCACCUGCAAAAAGAAGCAAAGAAAUCACUAUAAAAUGGGUUUAAAACCCCAAAAUCAAGACCCCCCACAAAACGAAAAAGAAAAAAAAGAGAGCUUUUUCGAAAAAAGAGAAGAGAAGAGAAAGAAAAGAAAAAGAAAAAAAAGAGGAGAAGAGGAGAGCCUUCGACGGCGGCCCAACGGCAGAGACGACGACAGCGGCGACGUGAAAGAGGCGGCGGGGCAAGCUAGCGUUUUGAAAAAGAAGAAGGAAGAUGAAGAAAAAGAAGAAUAAGAAAGUAAAUAAAGGGAAGGAAAAAAGGAAAAUAAUUUUUUUUAAAAUAGUCGGGUUGAUCGACAAAUAAUUUUUUUUAAAAUAGUCGGGUUGAUCGACCCGACUCGAAUCCGACCCGCACCUGACCUGAGCAGCCCACCAGCAGCCCCAACCCCCCCAAAAAAAAUAUAGCAGCAAAAAAGAAAAAAGCAAAAAAAAAAAAAACAGCUCCCAUAGCAGGCCUAGCAGGCCAGCCCAAGCGCAGCCCCAACCCAGCGCCAGGCCCAACAGCAGGCCAGCAGGCCCAUCCCAGCAUCAGCAGGCCCCCAGGCCCGUUCCAGCAGCAGGCCCAACAGCUUGCCCAGCCCAGUCCAGAAUAAAGGAAGGAAAAAAAGGAAAAAAGAAAGAAAAAAAGAAAAAAAAAGAGAAAAGAGAAAAGAAAAAAAAAGCAAAAAAGGUCGUGUAUUCCGUUCAUCAAGCUCGUAUUUUCUAGUUUUUGGAAAUUUUCUUUUUUACCCACUUUUAAUUUAAUUUACGUAUUUUUAUGACAUUUCAUCUUUAAUAUUCUUGAUUUUUUUAGCAUUUUUUAUACUUCGUAUUUAAUUUUAUUAUUUUUAAUUUUCAUAAAUAAGGCGACGAACCGAUUUAACAUUAAGUCGUAUAUUUUCAUCGCUAUGUUGGGUGAAUAUAUUGGGCUCGUGUUAAAUUCGGGACGCCCUUUUAAAAAAAUGAAAAACUUAAAAAUUCUCGUGUUUUGAAAUAAAAUAUCUAUUUUUGUAAUUAUCGGUAAAUUUAUCAAAAUUUUGUCUUUAAAAAUGUAUAUAGUACGAUAACAUGUAAUUUAUCAAAAUUUUCGCGUUUUAAAAAAAUUCGUGUUUUCGUAUUUUCAACAAAUUCUCGUGUUUUAAAAAAAAUUCUUGUGUUUCAAUCGGAUCACAAUUAAAUAUUAAAUUGAACUUGUAUUUUUGAAAAUUAAGACAACACGCACUUAACGAGAUACCAAUUUUGGGCUUCGCGAGGGUGCUAAUACCUUCCUCGCACGUAACCGACUCCCGAACUACAAUUUUCUCUGGAUUUUUUAACGUGGAUCUAAAAUUGACUCUUUUAAAGAAAAUUUCAAAAAUUUAUAUUUUAAAAAGAGAAUUUAAUAGGUGACCAAUCACACCUAGAAAAAAAAGAUCGGUGGCGACUCCCUUUUUUAAAUAAAAUCGAGACUCUGCUUUUAAAUUUUCCAUAAUCACUUUGACUAGCGCCCGUGCGAAAAUUUUUAGGUCGCUACAAAUUUCUUAAUAUUUAAAAUAAUAUUUUUUAUUUACUCCAAAAUUAUAUAUUGUACCGAACCUUCCGUUCGAAACAAUACAAAAAAUUAUGAUAGAAUACAAAUAAAUAUGAGAAAGUACAAAAAAUAUAAGGAAGUACCAAAAUUAUGAGAAAGUACCAAAACUUAGAUGUAUAAAAAAUUAUGAGAGAAUACCAAAAAAAAAAUGAGGAAGUAGCAAAAAUUAUGAUCGGAUACCAAAAGUUAUGAGGGAUAGCAAAAAAUAUGAGGAUGUAAAUGUAUGAGGAUACAUAAAAAAUUAUGAGGGAAUACUAAAAAAUAUUAAAAAGUACGAGAAUUCCAUAAAACAUGAGGAAGUAUAAAACAAUGAGGAUGUACCAAUAAAUUUGGGAAAGUACAAAAAAAAUAUGAGGAUGUAAAAAUAUGAUGAUGUACCAAAAAUAUGAGAGAAUACAAAAAAAAAAAAAAACAGGAGUGAAUACUAAAAAUAUGAAGAAGUACUAAAUAUUAUGAGAGAAUAUCAUAAAACCUGAGGAAGUACCAAAAAAUGAGAAAGUACAAAAAAUUAUGAGAGAAUACACAAAAAAUAUAUGAAAAUGUACAAAAAAUUAUGAGGAAGUGUAAAAAAUUAUGAGAGAAUACCAAAUAACAUAAGAAGAUACCAAAAAUUGUGGGGAUACCAAUUUUUGAUUUGUCUCAAUAAUUUUUUUCAUUUAUUUAAAUUUUUUUAAAUUAUCAUGAAAUAUAAUUUUUUCUCUGUACCAAUUUUAGCAUUAAAAAUUAUAAUUUAACAAUUAUAUUUUUUUGCUACAAAGUCUAAUGAAAUUUCUUAAUAUUUAAAAAUAAAUUUUUAUUUGCUCCAAAAUUAUAUCUCAUAUCAAACCUCUUUUCGAAACAAUACCAAAAAUUAUGAGGAGUUACCAAAAAAUUGGAGGGAAUACUAAUAAUUACAAGUAUAUACCAAUUAUUAUGAGAAAAUACCAGAAAUUAUGAUAUACCAUUUAUGAACUUGUAGCUUAUUCAAUAGGUAGCUAAGAAGCUCACAAUAGAACCUCCGUAAUUCACAAAGGUGACAUGUAAUAUUUCAUUUUUUAGUGAUAUCGAAAAUAGUGAUUUUGGGACUACAAUUUCAAUGUGUCAGUCUAUAAAUAUUAAAUAAUUAAUAAUAUUUACGAAGUCAUCAAGGUUGUUAAAUUCUGGUGAAGAAAUUUUAAUGUUUAGUUGAUUAAGUGGGUAAAAAGGAUUAAAUUGUGAUGGAUGCAGAACUUGAUGUUUAAUUAAUUAAAGGGAUUUGAUGGAUUAUAAGUCAAAUGAGUUGGGUCUAUGAAGUAAUUAGACCAUAGUGGAUAUUGAUGGACGAUUAAGGACUUUUAAGAUGUUAAAUGGUAUGUUUAUUUACAAGGGUAAAAAUUGUAAUUAGUAUAAUUAAACUAAGGAAUAAUAAAAACAAAAUUUCUAUCAUCUUCUAAAAGGGUUCACCGCCGAAACUAAGAGGAAAAUCUCCAUUGUUGGGAGUUCUAAGUCCGGCCAUUAUAAAUCCCUUGCAUGUAAGCUUGUUUUAAUUAGGUCUAGCUAGCCUGUAAACUGUCAAAGUUUUUGAAUGUGACCAUUGAUGAACCCUUGUUGGUUAUUAUGUUAAAGUUUUAAUUUAAAAUAAUGGCUGUUGUCCAAGAGGAAAUUGUUAAAUAAUUUUUUAUGGUUUUUGAGCUAGAGCUAAUUUGUUAAAAUGUUAAAAGUGAAUAUUGAGUUAUUAUGAACGGUAUUGAUAUAGAUAGAUAUUCUGCCUGUUUGAGUAUUUAGCAAAUUUUACUGACUUGGAGAUUUUGAAAUUAAGGUCGAAUUGUAUAUGAUACUUAAUUAAAACCCUGAUAAACCUUAAAUCAUUUUUCAAAUCUUGGAUUGCUAAAUAAAAUCGAUUUAAUUAAUGAAUGUUUUUCUUAAAAAACAAAAAGAAAAGUGAUUUUCAUACAAAUCAACUAAAAUAAAAAGAAUGGUUUUACAGUAUCACUCCGGUAAUCAAUGUAAUGUCUUCGAUUUAGCCAAAAUUUCUAGGUCGGGUUAGGGGUGUUACAUCUGGUAUUGCGAUAUCCAUGACAGUCUCAAAAUGGGAAGUUCCUUUGGAUGUUGGGUAUCGUGAUACCAUUAUAGGUGGUCUCCAUUCUCUUCAUUUCAGCACGUUCAGGGAUAUCACGACUUCCAUGCAUUGAUAUUGCAAUACCCCUUCUCAGUGAUGUUCUUACUCACAUUCAGACCACUUUUGACUCUCUACAACACUCAACCAACCAUUAAAGUCCCUAUGAUGCAAUUGGCCAACUUGAGUCUAAAAAAUGGGAUUAAAGCAUGUUAAACACUUAUUAAAACACAAAACUAAAACUAAGUAAAAACUACGAAAAAGACAUUCAAAUUACUCGAGAACAAGCUCAUUAAGUGUAACGGAAUAUCUAAUUUGACGUAUCAAAUUACGACAAAUAAAAAAAAAGUACAAAAAAAACUAUAAGGAAAUAUAAAAAAAUUGUAAGGGAAUGGGUGAUACAGUGGGUGAAUGAUCUUAGUUGCCAACAUAAUGAAUUGGUGGAUUCCGUGAACAAAAAUAUGGUUACAGUAUGGCAAAUAUGAAAACACAGAAAUCAAGCAUGUUUUCCAGGUACCAAACCAAAUCCUACUAAAGUCGCUAUUAUUGGUUGUCCGUAACCAUGGCAUAUCAAUUUGCUAACAAUUAAAAAUAAGUUAACAACAAGCCAUCGCUCGACAGUAAGUUGGUAAGUGAUGUCGAUCACACUCCCACGAUGAAUCCCCUCAUGAAUGCUAGGAAUAAUUGUAGCAUUGGACUUUGGUUCAUAGUCAAUCAUAAAACUGAUGGUAAAAAAUAUUAUGGAGGUUCAUGUAUUAGGAAUUGAAUUGCAUUUUUUUUCAUCUACUCAGUUAAGGGCAAGCUAAUCAUUGUACAUUAGAUUAAAUAGUAAAUUAGUUAUUUUGUUAAAAAAUUCAGUCAUUUGUACUGUUAAAUAAAUUUUGAAAAUCUGAUAACUAAAAUAUAAGUUUAAAUAAAGUUUAGGGACUAAUGAUAUAGUUUAUGUUUUUUUCUUUACCAAAAGGGCUACUACUAGCUAAAACAAAACCAAAUUACAGGACACCAUUUUGCAUACGAGAAACGCACAAAAUGUCAUCCAGUACUAGCUGUUCCACGUUCCAGUUGAGGGUAUGGCAACCUCCAUCAACCCAACAUCCAAGAGCGAUGAUAACUUUGCCAUAAAAUCAGCUACACGGUACACAUGGGAUAUACAGACCUCCCAUUGUCUGCUACCCUAAUACUGCGUAAAAGUGCCAAAUCUGCAUGUUAUUUAAUUUCAAAUUUUCUAGUUUGCCAACUCUAAAGAAAACAUAUUUGAUUAUAAUAUUUUUUGAAAAUGAGAAUAUGUGAAAAUUUAAAAAAAUAUGAAACCUUGUUUCUAUUAUUUUCACUAAAAAUACUAUUCAUAACAUUGGAAAAAGUGAAAAAUAAACUUUAAAUUUAAUUAAUAAAUUCACCCAAUUCAAAACAGGUAAACAAAAUAUUUUUUUCAAUAAUUUUUAAAUUUUGAGUCCAUAUAAAUGUAAACAAUUUUAAUUAAAUUUCUCAUUUUUGUAUCAAAUAUGUUUUCAGAUUUUCAUUGUUGAAAACAUAUUUUAUUUUUUUACUAUAUUUUAAAAAAUAUUUUUUAAAAUAAAGACAUUUUCGAAAACCAAACUGAGCUUUUCCUUUUACUUUUCAUCAUUCUAACUUUCCAACUAGACACUACGAAAAAAACAUUUUCUUAUCUUUCCACUCCUUUCCUUCAAUGUUUUCUUUCAAUCCUAUGAAAAUUCUUAAUAUUAUUUUGAGAAUAGGAUCAAAUCAAUUCAUCAGACAGGAAUUAUCUAGAAUUCUAGUUUAAUAAGAGGGUUUAACUGAUUGAUUUAUGAAUUAGUACGGAAUAAUUUAUUCGACCAAAUUGCAUCAACCGAAAACCGAUAAUCUGACCUCUUCUCCACUAAUUAGAUUUUAAAAACCUUCAAUUGACACUCACAGCAGACUCAGAGAAGCUCAUAUUCUCGACUCAUCCUAUCAAUCUUGUUCUCAACUUUGAUCUGGUAAGUCAAAACCCUUCUUUUUCUACUCUAUAUAUGUGUUUGAAUUUUAUCAAAGUAGUUUAUGUUUUUCCUUCUCUUCUUGUUCUCAUCUUGUUCUUAUCUAAGAAAAUAACAACAAAUAAAUAUGUCCUCACAUGGAGGACAAAAUCUUAAAGCAGUUAAGUAAUUACUAGAAAUGAAAAAGAAUUUUUGUGUUCAUACACAAAUCCAUAUGUUCUUUCUCCAUUAUUUUUUUACCUCUACUUGCCGUUAAAGAGAUUGAACAUAAUUGAUGAUUUCAUCAAGCAUAUCAGCUUUGCCUGUGAUUUUGUUAUACCCUGGUAUAAAUCUUGCAGAUACUUCAUUCUUUCACUGAUUUUCUCCCUUCUAUCCUAUAUAAAUCAACAUAAUUAAAACAUUAUUAUCUAAUGAAAGAGACCUUAUAAAAUAACAAAACAAAUAAGAAAACAUCUCCUGCAAUGCUGUAUUCAUGUCUCAAACCCUCAAAAACUAAAACUAUCAAAAACAAAACAAAGCACAACUAAACAAACGAAACAACAAAAGCUUGUAUAGAAAGGUUCUAAGGUUCCCAAUAUUCUAGAGAAAAGCUUAGCCUAAACUUAAGCUAUAGGCCGAGUCAUGCAUUUCUUUUUAGUCAUAAGUGCUCCCAUGCAGUUGUAUAGGUUGAAUUUUAUUCUAUUUGAGUUGUGAGGUAGACACGUAGGGCAAGGUGGCAAUACAGGUUACAACGUGUCCUACCUCUCACAUGCAUUGGACACAUGGAUAGCUAUUUACCCACUACUUGCAACAAGAAGAAUGGAUGCUGAUUCAGUUGCUGACAUGUUGAAUGCAAAAUAAACUGGCUUCAGACCAAACUUUUUUCAGCUAGUCCAAAAUAUUCAAUAAGAACUUAGUUUUAGAUUACUUUUUGGCUUUCUUUCAUAAUCUGAGAUCAUUAAAGACCAUUGCUCAUAUUUCAAAAUUUAGGGCUAUUCUAGGAAGCUGUUAAAAGUUCAAACUAAUUCAAUCAAGUAAACAACCAACCAAGAACUAACAAAAUAAUACUUCACAAGCAUGCAUGUAUAGCAGAAGUUUACAAGUUAAAAACAAAAGUACUUAACUUAUAAACAAAACAUACCGAUCUAAUAUAUGGUUGCUGGAACAACCAACCAACAAUAGGUAUCCUCUGCAAAAACACUGCCAGUGUUGGCCAAAAACCACUACCAAGUCAUAAGACUAAAAGAAAAUCUCAUUAAUCCCAUCUUCAACGUCCAUAUCUCCUCAUUUGCUGCUAAAUAAAAUUAAAGCAAAAGCCAUGUAAUUAAAAAGUCAAACAUGCCAACACUAAAAACUUUGACUAUACAAAAUUGUUAUUCUAUAUGUUGUUCGAACAUGAAAUAAAACAAGAGAAGCAAUCUAAGUUCUAAUAAUCUCCCUCUUUGACAUUUUGACAAGAUCAACAACAAAUAAUUAACACACAAUCUGAACAAAUCAACGAAAACUAGAAUAUAUCUCCCCCUAAGAAAUAGAACCAUGCUCGACCAUACACUUCCCUUGUCAAUAUGAUUGGUCAUCACAUUGUCCACCAAGCAUACACACACUUUCCAAAGUAAUUUCAAGAAAUAUAGAGCAUGACAAAUAAUCCACACAAGUCCCAUCUAGUAUUAACAAAAACCAAAAAAAGUAGCAUAAAGAGAACACGAGAUAAGCAACAAAUCAACAUCUAUCGUAUCUACCGUUUGCUACACCAGAUCGAUUCUGGCAAAGCAUAAAGCAACAAUCAUUAACAAUCACCAUCCUCAUUUUGAACAUUUGCUGCUACUUCUCCCCCUUUUAGGCAAAGAUGUCAGAGGAGCUCCCCUUACAGAAAUUUUCAAUUUUCAGGACAAAUCUUUCAAUCAAAGUCUGCUACUCUGUUACAUCCUUCUCUAUUCCAUUUUUUUGUUGUAACAGGAUUAGAGACAUAAGUAUUUUCUUCAUUAGCUGACUCAUAUUCCUCAUGUACUUCCAUUCACUACCAAAUUCUACUAGAAACCAAAUAAAAGAACUUUCCAAAACAAAUCCAACCACCAUAUCGAAAAUCAUUCCACAAGCAUAAUUAAAACAACUAUAAUUAGCAUAAUUUGGACUGUGCAGCUUGCAUGUCCAUACAAAAAUGGCGAUGCAAUGUGUAUUGUGGUUGACGGAGGGUUGGGAGUGUGUAUAGCCGAGAGUACAAUAAACCCAUAUGCCUAAAGAGCAAAAUUAAUAGAAGCCAAGCAUUUUUAUUAAAUCAAAGGAAUGAAAAAUUCAAACCUAAAGAGCACAAUAAACCCAUAUGCCUCCAAUACCAUGGCAAUGAUAGGCCAUCCAAUGACAACAAAAAGGAAGCCAACACCAAACGAAAUUGUUCCCUGCAUUCAAUAGCAAUAAAUUAUAAUGAAAACAAGAGAUGAACACACAAUUGCGUCUAUUGAUGUGCAUAUGUGUGAGACAAAGAGAGAGGGAGAGGAUAAAUCAAACCAAAUGAAAAAAAGCGAAGAAAGCACAAAUUAAAUCAAAUGAAAAGAUUCAUAUAUGCGUUAACCAAAUGAAUAGAAGCAAAGAAAGCACAAAUUAAAUCAACAACAAGAAGGAAAAAAAAAAGCUCACUCUUUAGGUCGUUCAUUUCAAAGGAAAAAACUGUUGCAUUCAACACCUGGAUUGGGAAGUCUCCCGUUCACUUCCUGAGAUUAUCUUCACUGCUUUUUCCUCAAUUUUGACCCAAAUUUCCCCAAUCAUCUUUUUUCUAAGAAACUUACAAAUGCAAUAAAUAAUAAUAACUACAACCAAAUUAAUACAAAAUAUAAUUACAACUACAAAUUUAAAUUCAAAUAAACUUGGAUAGGUUCAUUUAUGCAAAGAUGGAGUAAAAAAUCCAUUUAGGCGAAGUCAAGGAUUAAUGUUGAAAAUUCUACAUUAUAAAAGUUAAAUUUAAAUUAUUAAUUUUUAGAAGGGUAAAAGUAUAAUUGUCUCGUCUAACAAAAAAUUCUAAAAAUAAAAAACUUAAAUUCAUGCUCCAUCUAAUAAGAGUAUUACUAUUUACUCAUGUGUUAGUAAAUGAGUCACAAUAAAUUAAUUCGAUUGAUAAUAUUUAGCCAUUCUUAUAACUUAUCUUUGGUAAAGAGAGAAAAUUUUCUGCUUAUGUAAUUUUUUUUGUUUAUUUUGAAAAGAUCUUAUUUUUUUACAAAAGUUUUUACUAUCUUUCUAUUUUCAAGUUCAAAAUCGUAUUAGCUAGUCUUUAUUUUAUACCUAACUAUUGUAAUGCAUGUAUGCAUUUUUCUCGUAUUAUAAAAUGUCUAGAUUCUCCCGUUUAUCCAAGAGAGAUUAAGGCCACUAACUGUCCCAAAUAAAUCUAGUAGUGAACCACAUAUAUAGUAUUUAAAUUAGAGGAUUCGAACUUAAGAUUUUAAAAUUCUCAAAAUUUUAACCUUAUUAAUUCAAUCAAAAUUUCUCCAACCCAAAUAAUUUUUUUUUAAAAUUAUUAUCAUUUUAUCAUGUAUAUAAUUCUUUGAACAGUUGUUUUAUUAUGUAUAUAAAUAGAGAACUCUGGCAGGCUACUCAAAAUCUUCAUUACCUGUGGUCUUAAUUCAUGGUUUAUGUAAUAUAUACAAUAUUUAAUUUUUUAAAAUUGGUAAAAUGUGAUUUACUUGAUUUUUUUCAAAAGUAAUUACUUUGGCUUGACCUGAGUUUUUGUCCAAGAACAUUUGAUUAAAAAAUAAACAAAACAAAACAAAAAUGAAUAUUAUGUAAUAAAUAAGUCCAUCUUACAAGCCCAAAAAUACAAGAAAAAUAAAAAUGAAUAUUAUGUAAUAUAUUUGGCUAUAAAAGCCAUAACAACACAUGUAUCUAUUUAUAGACAAUCAAAAAAGAGAAAUCCAGAAAGAAACUACAACAGUUUUUUUUCCAAUUAUGGUGCCAGUUUUUUUUUGGGUGUGGCUAGAUAAAGAUUAGCAUUGGGAGACGUCUAAUAUAACUUAUAGACUAUAUAUUUGCUCUAUGCUUCUUGGUGAAUGCUAGCACAUUGACUGAAUUAUAUCAAUGACAAUAGAUGGUAAAGACACGAAAUUUUGUGGAGGGAGAUAAUAGCUUAGCAACAAAAGCUGUUUGGGAUGAUGAGAUGACAUUGAUAUUUUGUGAACUUUGCGUGAAUGAAGUCAAUGCUGGUAAUAGACUGACAACUCAUCUAAACUCAAAAGGAUGGGAAAAUGUCAUUGCUCUUUUUCAAGCAAAAACACAAAAAAAUUAUGGAAAACCUCAAUUGAAAAAUAAAUGGGAUACAUUAAAAAAGGAAUGGAGGUUAUGGAGGGAGUUGCUUAAGGAAUCUACAGGUAUUGGAUGGUGUCCAUCUAAAAAGACGGUCGAUGCUACCGAAGAAUGGUGGGCUACAAAAAUACAGGUUAGUGUUCACUUUAUCAUUAUUUUAAUGCAUAAAAUUUAUUGAUAUUAAUAAUUUACAAUUAUAAAAAUCUUAGUAUAAUAUUUAACAUUUAACAUGUUAUGUAGGAAAAUCCUGAUUUUAAAGGAUUUAAGAAGAAAGGAAUUGAACCACGAUUGAAUGAGUUAAUGUGGCAAAUGUUUGGUGGCAUUGUAGCCACCGGAGAGAACGCAUGGGCACCUUCGUUUGGUGUUCUUCCAAGUGGGGUUCCUAUGGGAGAUGAUGCACCUAAUGAGGGAUUUGGUAAUUCAGAUGAACAUAGUAACGAGAAUGAAUGUAUUCCUCCUGAUGAGAUACCAUCAAACCCUUCUCAUGAAAUUCCUAAUCGAAGAAAGCAAACACUUGGGGCUGUAUACGGUAAAGGAAAAAAAUCAAGUUCAAGUAGAAAAUCAUCAAGAAAUACAUUAACUACUCAGAUUGAGAAAUUGUGUGAGAGUAUGGCUAGUCUAAGGAAGUCAGUGAAUGAAAUUAUUUUUCCUCACUCUCAAUAUACUAUUUCAAAUGCAAUGGAUGCUUUGCGUGCUUUGGGAGAUGAAAUUCCAAAAAAAGAUGAACUGUACUAUUUUGCCACCAAAAUGUUUCAAAUACCGGUGAAACGACAAGUGUUUUUGAACUUAGAUCCAGAUGAUAGGGUUUGGUGGCUUCGACGUGAGUAUGCUGAAAAAAAUCCAAUUGCAUCAUUUUCAUCCUUGGUAGCAACAUCCUCAUUUCCCUUCCAACCAUACCAUCAACCACCUCCACCAUAAGCUCCUUAGAAUUAUUAUUGUAAUAUAACUAUACUACUUUUUUAUAUGUAAAACUAAUGUAUGAUACUUUUUAUGUUUGGUAUUUUUAUGCUAUUCUUUUAAUCAAGUUUCUGUGUUGUAUAGAAUGUCACGAGAUUUUAAAGGAUUUAUUUUCAUUUGAUUACUUUUUCAGGUUAUGGAUAAAUUUAACAAUAUGUAUAAUAGUUUUGAUACAAAUUAUGAUACCCCUGAAUUAAGUGAAGAAGCUCAACAAAUAAUAGCCACAAUUGUUACCCAAGUUGAGAACAACAAUUAUCAUGGAGAGGAAGAAUAUGUGUUAAGCAGUGUAUUGGUACACCAUGAAACUUAUUUCACUAUGCAACCGCUUAUGGAUUCAAAUCAUACAGGUCAAAUGUGGGUGGACGAAGUAUUAAAUGGGCACGAUGAUCGUUGCAUGAAUAGUUUUAGGAUGGCAAAAGAUAUAUUUCACAGCUUGUUGCAUGGUUUGCAAACAAAUUAUGGCUUAAAGAAUGGGAAAUUAUUGGCGAUGGAGAAGUUAGCAUUAUCAUUGUACAUUCUUGGAAAUAGAGAAUCAAAUUCAAAUGCAACAGAGCGAUUUCAACAAUCUGGGGAAAUUGUUAGUCGAAUUUUUACUAAUAUGUUGCAUAUAUUUGCUCGAAUGGGAAUAGACACGAUUAAACCCACUGAAGGUCAAUUCGAGGAAGUACCAAACCAUAUUAGACAUGAUACAAGAUAUUGGCCUCACUUUAAGGUAAUAUUUACACUAUCUUUAUAUUUUUAAAAUAUAAAUUAUUUCUAACUUUUAUCUUAUUACUUGUAUUUAUUUUAAAGGAUUGUAUUGGGGCCAUAAAUGGAACACACAUAAAAGCAUGCAUUUCGCCUUCUUGUCAAAUACCUUAUAUCGGACGGAAAGGUGAACCAACUCAAAAUAUUAUGGCGGUUUGUGACUUCAACAUGUGCUUUAUUUUUGCAUUUCCUGGUUGGGAAGGAACAGCACAUGAUAGUAGAAUUUUUUUUUGCAAGCACUCAGAAAACAAGAGUUGAGGUUUCCACACCCUCCACCAGGUUGAACUUUAAUUUUUUAAUUACUUUUUUACAUAAAAAAUAUUAAAAAUAUUAAAUUAUUUUUAAACUUGAUAUUAUGUUUUACUUUUUUUGUAGGAAAAUAUUAUCUUGUGGAUUCAGGAUAUCCACAAAUAGCAGGUUUUCUAGGUCCAUAUAGGGGGAACGAUAUCAUUUACCUGAUUUUCGUCGAGGUAAUCAUCAAGUAUCUGGAAAAAAAAGAGAAAUCUUUAAUCAUGCACAUUCUUCGUUACGCUCUGUGAUUGAACGAACAUUUGGAGUGUGGAAAAAAAUGGCCAAUAUUAAGAGAUAUUCCAAGUUAUUCAUUCAACAAGCAAGUUUUAAUAGUUAUUGCAACAAUGGUUUGCAUAAUUACAUUCGAAGACAUGCUUGGUCAAAUGAUGAGGAUUUUCGAGAAUUUGAGAAUAUACCUGACAUGCCAGUCUCUUCAAGCCAGUUUGACAGAGGUGAAUCGAGUUCUUCUAAUAGAGAAAGUGACCUUGAAAUCACGAUGUUAAGGGAAACCAUUGCAACUAGUUUAAUGAAUCCAUAUUUGUAAAAACAUUUUGUAUCAUAACCUAAUUUCUAGUAAUAAUGAAACUUGUUAUGUCUUAUGUUAUUAUUAUUAUUUUAUUAAAAAUCAUCCGUUUAGAUACUUCAAAAUUUUAUCCAAGUAUAAUGUUACUAUUUCUGAAAAUAAUAUUUAUCAUUGUUAUAAAAAAAUAUUUAACUAUAAAAAAUUAAAAAUAAUUAUCAUUUUAUCUAAUAAAUAAUUUAAAUUUAUUAUAUAAUUCAUUAAAAUAUUGGAAGAUACAUUUUAAUAUUUUAUUAAAUAAAAUUAUAAAUUCACAUAUUUUAAUAAUUUUAAAAAAUUAAAAUAAUUUAAAAAACUUAUAUUAUAUAUCAAUUCUAAUAUGAUAUCCUUAAUAGUCAUUUCUUAGUCUCACCUCACCGCUACAGCUGCGUUUGAAUCCAAACACACACUCCACCAUUGUUUCUAAUCUCACUGCUACAGUAUCUAAUCUCACCGCUACAGUAACUAAUCUCACCGCCACCGCUAUUUUUAACCUCACCGGAAGUAAACACACCGCCCAUCCAAAGUAGUCCUUAGUAGUACAAAACAUAGAGAAAUUAACAAGACAUCAUAAAUUACGUGGUUUAGACUUUAGUCAAUUGUCAAAUCAAUUUUUCGUUGUUUUGGGGGAAACCAAAUUCAUUGAAGUAAAAAAGGGUUCAAUAAGAGACCAAAAGAAAGAAAAUGACAGUACAUUGUGGCUACUUACGGGAAAGGGCCGAAGUACUUGAAAUCUCCCUCUUUUAUGGGUAGAGUUUUAAAUUACUUCUUAUAUUAGUUUAUUAAAUAAUUUAUUGUAAAAAUAUUAUACUAUUGUUUAAAUUUUAUUAACAUUAAAAAAUUAUUGCAUUAUUAAAUAUUUAAACAUUACUUUAAUAAGGUAAUAAUUGUUAACAUUACUUUAGAAAAUUACAAAUUAUAAAAGAAUAAUUAUUAGCAAACUAUUUUAAUUUUUGUUAGUAUUUUACGUUUUAAAAACUAUAAGAAUCAAUGCAGAAACAAGAUUAUAUAGUGAAAUAAUAUUUGAUUUUCUAAUAAUAAUUAAAUUAAAUUAAAUUAAUAAUUUUCUUUUACAAUAUUUUAUUUAAAAUUAAAAUUUUAAAUAUAAAAAAACAGUUCUUUUUAAUGAUAAAAAGUGGAUCUUAAUAUGAAUAAAAAUUGAAUGCAGCUGUAAAUAAAUAUGCAAUUUUUUUAUUACAAAUCUAUUGUUUUUUAAUAACAAAUUAAAAAAUCAUACUUCAACAUAUUUAGAAAUAUAUUUUCUCACAAAUAAACAAAACAAAUUUACAUACACAUUAAAUGUAAUUAGAUUAAAUAAACCACAAAUCAAAUACAUGUAAUGGAAUUAAUAAUUAAAACUGUAUAAAAUCUCCUUGAAAAAAAAAUUAAAACUGUAUAAAAUAAACAUUUAAAUUUAAACCUACAAAAAGAAAAAAAUAGCAGUGAUCAAAUUGAAUGCAAUUAAAUGUAAAUCAGGAUCAAAUUGAAUAAAUUAAAAUUGAAUUAGGGAUACCAUCGCACAAAAUACAGACUACUAAGGACAGAAAAAGAAAAUAUCCCGUUGCAUAAAAAAGACGCAAAUCAUUUUAUGGGCUAAAUAUCAAAACUUUCUCUCUCUUUUUAUUCAAACAAUAUUAAAAAAAACUUUAAAGCCUUGAUUAUCUAAUUAGUGUAACUAUUGAUCUUAAUUUGUUUCAAACAUAUGAAACGUUUGAGAAACAAUCAUACGCCUAAUAACAUCUUUGCACUGCGGGAGGAGAGUCCACCUUGCUUCAAAGUGGUAUGGUCGACAUUUUGUUUGUAGAAACAAUGAUAGGGCCAUGAUCAGAGAAAAAACAAUAGGUAGAUUGAGAAUAAAGAUGUUUGUGCAAUUUUUGAAAUAGUAAUUGUUAGGAAAUGUCAUGUCAAGUCUUUCCUAAACAACAUCAUUUUGUUGCCGAUUGUUUGCCCAAGUGAAAUAGGAGCCUUUAAAACGUAUUUCAAGGAGGAAGCAACCAUCAAGGCAUUGUAGUAAAUCUAAAGCUCCUUUUAAAUUGUUAAAAAGAUUAGACAACUUGUCUUUGUACCAAAUGACCUGAUUAAAGUCACCCAAUACUAUCCAAUCUUUAACAGUUUUGGAGAAAUCCACGAGCUGUUCUCAAACAUGAUGUCUUUCACAUAGUUUAGGUUUGUCAUAAAUGCAAGAAAUAUAGGUUUUUAAGUUAUUAUCCUCCAUGUAGCAAGAAAUGAAGUUUUCAUAAUAGAAAUAACAGUGCACCUAACAUUUUUACUCCAAAAUAAAACUGUCCCCUACUAAAGCCUUUGUGAUUUGUGCCAACAAAAGAUUCAAAGUUCCAUUUAGAUAGUAGGUUUCUAAAAACACAUAUAUGCUCAUUUACAUAACUUAAACAUUUCAAGAUUAUGCUACUUACAUAUAUAUUAUACAACUCAUGUACUAUAAAUCAAAAUAAUCAUUAUAUCCAAAAUACCAAAUCGACAAUUUACUACUUAAAACCGAUUCAAUCCUGGGUACAUGCCACAUAUUGAAACAUAAAGAACUGAUGACCAUUUCUAAGUUGAAAGUUGCAGUUGCUGGAUCAAUCCUCGAGUCUCCGAGAUAUACUAAUACUUGCGCACGGAAUAAACAAAUAGUACGCUGAAUGAUAAAGCUCAAUGUUACUUCCAUUAUUCAAAUCAAUAUAAACGAAAACAAUAACAUGAAAAGAAUAUAAUUAAUGUAUGAUCAAGUUUCAACCAUUUCAAUUACCUUUCAUGUACCAAAUACCAAGAUUAUGCACAAUCUCAUUUUACAAACCAUAUGCAUAUUUCAUAUGUAUGAAUACGUGAUAUACCUAUUUCAUUAACAUUCUAUGUAGAACUUGUACAUUCUACCAUCCUGGUUGGCCCGACAACGAUUGCUUUCACUAUCUGCAUAUUCUACCAUCCCAGGUGGCCCGACAACGAUAGCUUUCACUAUUUGCAUAUUCUACCAUCCUGAAUGGCUCGACAAUGAUGAUUUCCACUAUUUGCAUAUUCUACCAUCCCGAGUGACCCGACUGUAACAGCCCGAUUUCGACUCUAAUUGGACAUAGUGGUUUCGGGACCACAAGUCCGAGUUAAAAAAAUAUUUUAAUAUUAUUUUGUGUGUUUAUUAUGUGUGAAUUUAAUUGUGUGAAAUUUUCGUGUUUUAAUUUUGUCGUUUGAGUGUCUGAUUAAAUAAAAAAGAUUAAAUCGCGUAAAAUGAAAAUUUAGUGGUUAAAUAUGAAAGUGUUUAAUUGUUGUUGUCUUUAUAAUUUGGAGGUUCUAUGAUGCAAUUAGCCCACUAUAUAAGUUAGUGGAUGCCAAUGGUCAAGAAUGACCUUAUAUUAUAUGUUUUGUAUAUUAAUUAUUUAAGGUUAAAUUGGUAAACUAAAAAUUUUGAUAAUAUAUGUUAUAAUAAAACAUAAAAAUAAAAGAAACAUGCAAAAAGGUUCAUCAUUUUAGCCGAAACUUCAAAAGACAAAGAAAAAAAAAGAAAGCUUGGUUCGGCACUUGUAAUCCUUAAUUUAGGUAUGUAUUUUGUUGUGUUUUUAAAAAAUUUUACGUUUUUAAGAUCGUUGCUUCGUGUUCUUCAAAACCCAUGUCUUAAUUUUGUGAAUUGUGAAUAAUUUUGAAAUGUGCCAUUGAUGAAUGCUUGAGUUUUAUGAUGCUAGUAGGUGAAAUAUGAAAUAUAUUUGUUAGAUUAACAUGUAUUGUUUUUGAAUUUUUGAUGAAAUUGAGUAAUUAGGGUUAAAUUGUGAAAAUAAAUUUUUCAAGGGACUAAAAUGCUAAAUAAAUGAAAAUAUGGAAUUAUAUAGACACUAGGAAUAUUCGGCCGUAGGAGUGUAGUUAAAUUUUGUGUAUUUUGUGUUUUGAGCAAAAAGGAUUAAAUUGUAAAAAGUGUGAAAUGUUAGGGGCAAAAUUGUAAUUUGCCCAUUCAUGUAUUUUUAGUCUAAAUUGAAUAGAAUGGUGUUUAAAUAAGCUUAAUUUGAAUAUGAUUUAGAUCAAGAAUUAAAGGAAUCGGAUUUGGAUUGGGGAAAGACAAAAGUGGUCGAGUAGCCGAUUUAACAGUCAACGAUAUCCGAGGUAAGUCUAUUAGCAAUUUAUUGUUAUUAACUCAACAUAUAUAUAUAUAUAUGUGUGUGUGUAUAUUUAUUAUAUAAUUGAUGAGCUAUAAUUAAAAGUAUAUAAAUUGAAUUUAGUUAAUAUAAGCAUUUAUAUAUGUAAAUAAGAAGUUCGAAUAAGUAUGUAUAUAUAAGUAUAAGUUUUUUGGAGUUAAGUGAAAGUAUGGAUGUUAUAUUUGUAUUUAUAAUGUUCGAAUAUAUAUAUGUAUAUAUAUAUAAAUAAGUUUUUGAAUUUAGUUGAAUUGUGAAUGUUAUAAAAAUAUUCAUACGGUUCGAAUAAGCAUGUAUAUACAUUUUUAUAUUGAAUUUAAGUAUGAAAUUAUAUAUGUAUAUGUUAGAUUCGAAUAUGUAUAUAUGUACAUGUAUAAGUUAUUGUAUUGAAAUUAGAUAUGAAGUUAUAUAUAUAUGAGUAUGAGGUUCGAUUGUGUAUGAAUAUAUAUAUAAGUUCAUGAGUUGAAUUAUAAGUAUAAAUUAUAUAUAAAUGUAUAUGAGGUGCAAAUAUGUAUGUAUACACAUGUAUAAUUUUUGUAUUGAAUCAAAGGUAUGAAAUUAUUAGCUUAGAUUAUUUAUAAUAUGUUUGAAUGUAUGAUAUGUUUUCUUUGAAGUGAAUUUAAUGCCAUAAAAUGUGUAUGUAUUUAAGUAAUUCGAAUGUUAAAUGUAUAUUACUUAGGGUAUAUUAUAAAUUUAAUAGUAUGAUAUUAGUAGUAGGAUUCAAGAUAUAAAGUUAUAUACAUAAAUUUGUUAGGUUGAAUCAUGAAGUUAUUGAGCUAGAUUUGGUGUUUGAAUUUCAUGAACCUAUGUGGUUCAAAGAUAUAGGUUAUAAAUUUUGAGCUGAAUUUUUAUGUAUGGAUUUAUAUACAUAUAUAGUUCGAAUAUGAAUUACAGCUUCUUUGAACUGAAAUUAUUGUUGUGAAUUGUACAAGUAUGUUUUAAGUGCAUGAUUGUUACGUAGAAUUGAAUAUAAUUCAAUUCCAACGGAGAAACGACUAUCGGAUUUAUUGCCAGUGAAAUUAUUCAGACUAUACGUCUAGCAGGCUAAGUGCCGGUGAACUGAAUCAGGCUAUAGGCCUAGCAGGCUAAGUGCCGGUGAACUGAAUCAGGCUAUAGGCCUAGCAGGCUAAGUGCCGGUGAACGGAAUUAAACUAUAAGCCUAUCAGGUGAAGUGCCAGUGAAUCUGUUUAAAUUAAGUGAUUCUAUGCAUUGGGCAUAAAUAUAUAUGAUUUUGUUUAUAUGAAAUGGAUAAAUUUAUGAACAUUGUUUCAAGGUGGUUGAUGAGUAUAUAAUCGUUCGAAUCCUUGUGAAUAGUGAGUAUGUAUAUAUAUAUCGGUUGUCAUGAAAUUGUUGGAUAUAUAUAUGUAUAUAUAUGUAUGCAUUCGGCAUAGGUGGGUAUAAGUGUAUAUGUGCAUUCGGCACUUAUAGUUGAUAAGUAUAAAAAUUAUGCUUUUGGUAUAUGUAUUUGAACAAUUAUAUUUAAAUGGAUCCGAUGAAGUGCGAACAAUAAGUACUAUAGAAAUCAGUACAUGCAGUUAAUGAUUAUGUUAGUAAAUUGAUUAUAUGCAUAUAAUGUAUAUACAUUUGUCCGUUUAUGUGUAUUAGAUAAAUACACAUCCUUUUAGAUUUAAACAAAAUGACUUAAUAUAGCAAUGUUUGAUUAGUAAUUAUAAUUGAUAAUUGUGAUUUCAAUAAAUUUACUUAAAGAAUUAUAUGAUUCUUUUAUAUGUAUUUUAGAUAUGCUAUAGACUUACUAAGCUAUAAAAGCUUACUUUGAUUGUUUUUGUCCAUUUGUUUUUAUAGAUUUUGGAGACGCGUUACGAGCUCGGGGAUCAUCAGCAUAGUCUAUCACACUAUCGACUACUUUUGGUAUUUUGUUAAAUAUUUGAACUCAAUCUUAUGGCAUGUAUAGGUUUGAGUACGAUGUUAGUUAGAUUUUGAUUGUAAAUUAUAAAUAGCAAUGCGAAAAUGAUUUAAUUUUCAUGUUUGUGAUCAGUUUGGUUUUAAAAAUGAUUGUGUUUGUUCGGUAAUGCCUCGUAACCCUAAUUCGGCGACGUAUACGGGUUAGGGGUGUUACACCGACAAUGAUGGUUUUCACUAUUUGCAUAUUUUACCAUCUUGGGUGGCCCGACAACGAUGGUUUUCACUAUUUGCAUAUUCUACCAUCCCAGGUGGCUCGAUAACGAUAGUUUUCAGUAUUUACAUAUUCUACCAUCUUGGGUGGCCCGACAACAAUGGCUUUCACUAUUUACAUAUUCUACCAUCCUGAGUGGCCUAACAACGAUGGUUUUCAAUCACUAUAUCGAUGACUCCAUGGCAUGCUAACUAAACUCGACUCUGCCCUAAACAGUUAGUAGGGUAAUCACUGAAUCAAUACACAUAAUAAUCACACAUCACAGUUUAUAUCAAGCUCGUUUGUGCUAUAUUCACUUCAUUCCAAUUCUCGACAUUUAAUGUCAUCAUGUAUAAAUUGAUUCAAAAAGCAACAAUACAUUUACCUCAAUAGGUAGAUUUGCAACAAUCACAUAUAUGUAUUUAUGUAUUGAACUCAAAUCAUAAAAGUACAAAUCGAAGCUUUUGUCACUCGUCUACGACACUCACUUUUCUUUUCUCUCAAGACGGCGCGACGUCAUCUUUAGCUUUGUUCGAUAAUUCAAUCAUAAAUCAAUUUCAGUUUACAUCCAAUUCACAUUCAAAUACAGAGCCAAACAUAUUUUACAUUUUAUUCAAUUUAGUCCCUACAUUCGAUAGAUUCGUAUUUUUCAAUAUCUAACACCGGAUCAAAAUUUGAUUUCACAUGCUUUCAUUGGGGAUACUAUACUUUUCAUCUGCAACAUAAUCUCAUGAAAAUUUUCAAUUUAUUCAAUUUAGUCCUUAAUGUUACAAAAUUAUCUAACAAGCUUAACUUAGUUUCCAAUUUAGUCCUUAACAUAAUCUAAGUUCACUAUCUAGUGACCUCUUCAAUUUCAAGCCCAAUUCAUCAAUUUCUCUCUAAUGAAAACUUUUAAACAUCUAACAAUUUAUUAAAUUAACACAUGAGCUAGCUAAAUCAAGCUCCCAUGAUAAAAAAAAUCUAUAAAAAUUUUGAAGAAUAAGACUUGAUCACCUUAGUUAAUUUGGGAUAAAAAUGAAAAUGAAGGCUUGGAUAAUUUUUUUCAUUAUUUUUAACUUGCGACGGCAAAGUAAGAUGGAAAAGAUGAUGUUGGGGAUCGACCCGAUUCAGCAAUGAAUAAGUAAAAAUAGCGAAAGAAAUUAAAAAAUUGAACAUACAAAUUUAACAUGGAAAAACCCCUCCAAAGAGGAUAAAAAACCACGAGCAAAGAUAACUUUACUAUAAUGGUAAAAGAACGAAGUGUACAAAAAAUAGAGAUAAAAAAACUAAACUCCGAAACCCAAAAAUAAAGAACCCUCAAAACGUAAACACAAAAUUCUCCAAAAGUGUCAUGAGUUCGAAUUUCUAAUAGGUGUGUUUUCUAAGGUUGUAAAAGAACCUAUUUAUAGGCUAAAUUCGUAGGUCAAAUAAUAAUAAAAUAAUCUAGACUAAUCAGAGUUUGAUUGAAACAAAUAAACAAAGUUUAAUUGGAAGAUUAUUUCUCAAAUUUGACUGAAAUUUGAGUCAUACUCAACAAAUCUCCACCUUGACUCGUGUUUCCACAAAACCAUCUUUGCUAAAGCUGGCCACAGGCCUAUCUUGAACUAUACAGGUAAUUAAUUGAGUCGAAUCUGUGCUUAGAAGCUGGAAGACUUCUAGCCUUCGACUUGUGUACUGCCAAAUCAAAACUAACCCGGGUCUGAUUUUCACGAACACAGUGCCCUAACUUUUCAAAACCUGUAUCCAAAAGAGAAUCUCUAUUAAAUGAAACGAUCAUACAUUUUUCCCUCCCAUGACCAAGUUGUCUCUGCUCCAAACGAGUUAACUUCGACUCCGUAACGGAUGAGGGACGUUCAAUUUCACCAGUCACUGUAGAACCUUCUAGAAUAUAAAGGUUGUCGAUCCUUUUACCUUUUAACAAAAUGAGAGCCCCUUGGGACGCCUUAAUGCUGCUCAACUCGAUAUUGAUUCUAUAACCUUUCGAGUCUAAAAUACUCAAGGAGAUGAGAUUCUUUCUUAAAUCAGGUACAUACCUGACAUCUGACAGUGUCCUGAUAGUCCCAUCGUACAUCCUAAUUUUGACAGUACCAAUACCGAUUACCUUACUGGAUGAAUCGUUUCCCAUGUGUACAAAUCCACCUUCAACCGAACUAUAUGUAGAGAACCAUUCUUUGUUAGGACACAUGUGGAAAGAACAUCCCGAAUCCAGAAUUCAUUCAGACGUAAUCUCAAAGCUUUCGCUCGUUGACACUAACAAGAAAUCAUCACCACUUUCGUCGGAAAAAUUAUCACCAACUACAUCUUCCUCGUUACUCUCAACAUCCCUUUUAUUUCGCAGUUUUUAACAAUAUGCUUUGACGUGACGUAACUUCUUACAAUAUCAACCUUUUUGUCUUACUUCUUUGAUGUUACCAAAAUGAAAGCUUGUCUAUCUGCCUUGAUAUCCGAACCAAACUCAUUAUCAAAUUUGUAUUUACUCAACAAAUGACCCUUUACAUCCUCGAACGAGAGUUUGUCUCUACCAUAAAUUAGGGUCUCCCUGAAAGUCUUGUAUGAAGGGGGUAAAUAGCACAAUAAUAGCAUAGUCUAAUCUUUACUGUCAAUUUUAACCUCAACAUUCUUUAAAUCAUUUAAAAGGGUAAUAAAUUGAUUGAUGUGAUCUCUAAAAAACUCACAUUCGUUCAUGCGAAAUGUAAAUAGACAUUUAAACACUAAACGGUUAGUUAGAGACUUAGUAUCAUAAAGAGUUUCUAACAUUUUCCACAAUAUGGACGAGGUCUUCUCCAUUAAUACCUCUUGCAAUACCCUAUUCGCGAGGCACAACUAGAUUGCAGACAAUGCCUUUUCAUCAAGCUUUUCCCAUUCUGAUUAAUCUAGAUUCUCUAGUUUUUUCUUGGUAGUGACCUUUUUCAAGCCAGUUUAAACUAGAAUUGCCAUCAUCUGAACUUGCCACAGAUUAAAAUUUGUGACACCAUCGUACUUCUCAAUAUCGAACCUUGUUGUUGUCAUCUCUGAAUCGACUGAUAUGUGGAAAUUAAACUAGCUCUGAACCCAUUUAUGGAGCAAAUAACAUGCAAUAAUGAUUCUAUUGUGCACCCUUACAGGAUAGAAUGAUGGACUUCUAAGUAUUCCUUAUCUAAGUUUUAAUAACCCAAAGCAUCUUUCAAUAACAUUACGCGCUGAAGCAUGUUUCAUAUUGAAAAAUUCUUUCGGAGUACUUGGUUGGUAACCCUAACGCUACUUAUUCAAAUGAUAUCUUUGUCCUUUAAAAUGCGUAAGAAAUCCCUCAUAGUUUGUGUAGCCAACAUCAGCUAGAUAAUAACAACCUAUAAAAAAACUAUUUAUCAUGGUUAAUUUCCCAAAAAAGUAUGAUCUUAAAAAUUAAUUCAAAUUCCUCUAAUUUUGCACUUUACCAUGAAGAACUUUUAGUCCAUGUCACCUGUUAAUGGCAUCUCAAAGAACUCAUCCAUCAGCAACAGAACCUUCCCAACUAGGAAGAACUUAAACAAAAUGCAUAUCAGGUGUACAAACACCAACAUAUUUGUGCUAUGUCACCUUUUCGCAUUCGAUAUCUAGGUCUAUCAACUGUAGGAACCCUAAUCUUGAUGUGGGUUCCAUCUAAAGCACCUAAGCAUUUCUACAUCACAUGUAUAAAACUUCGGGUUAGGAUACUAUAUUUAAAUCUAUAACGAUCUGAUAGUUGGGGUGUCAGAUAGUAAAGUCUGGGAUGCCAUUUCGUAAAACGAACCUGUAAAUAUUUUUAUUUAAAUAUUUAUGAUGUUAGUUAGUAGUGAACUAGAUUUUGAUUAAGUGAAUUUUGAGAAAUUAAGAAUUAUUAAGGUAUAGGGACUAAAUCGCAUAAGAGUUAAAAAUUGAAUUAUAGGUUAAAAAUUAAUAGAUGGACUAAAGUAGUAAAUAUCCAAUUACCUAAGGUUAGUGGACGGUAUUAACAUGUAUGAUAUAUAUGUUAUAUUAAUAAUUAUUAUGAAAUGUAUAUAUACAUAUAUGUUAUUUUAUAAUAAAAACAUAAUAAAAGAAAUAAUAAAAGUUAUAAUAAAAAAAGGAAAGUGGUAACAUGCAAAUUAAAGGGAAAAAAGAGAAAGAAAAUAAGGGAAAUACACAUGGCUUAGGGACUUAGGAGUUCAAGCUCAAAUUGGUUAGUGCAAUUUAGUCUUUUUUUGUAAUUUUUACGUUUUUGGAAUCCUGAUACUUAGGCUUAGUCAACCCGUGUUGCAAUUUUAAGUAUUUUUUAGAAUUUUAGAUGUUACUAUUGUUGUAUAGGUUAAGUAUUAGGGAUUAAAUUGAUAGAUUUUUAAGUUAAAAGUGAAAAAGGACUAAAUAGUGAAGUAAUUCUUGAUUUUGAGUAAUAAGGACUGAAUUGAGAAAAAAUUGAAAUUUAAGGGUAUAAUUUAAAAUAGAGAGUUAAGUUUAGUUUAAAGUGAAAUGAUUAUGAAAAUAUAAAAUUUAAUGUGAAGAUUAAAAAUUAAUCUCGAUUUAAAGACUAAAUUGAAAUUUAAGCAAAUAUUGUGUAAAAAUUGAAAUAUUCAAUGUGGAAUUGAAUUGUGUAGUAUUAAUGUAUUUUAAUUGUUUUAAUUAAAAAGGGGAAGGAUAAAAUCAACGUUAAAUAGCUCAGAAUCCAUGAUUUAUGUUUCUAUAAUCUGAACUAAGUUGUAAAUUAUUACAUUUUGAAUUAUUGCAUAUGGUAAGAAUUGGAGGUGAGAAUUAUUAUGUUUUACAACUGAAUUGAAUUCAUAGUUGAUUGAAUUGGAUUGAUUUGGUAUAUGUUAUAAAUGUAUUGAGUAUUUGGAAAUUGAAAUGAAUAUAUGUUGAAAUAUGAUAAUGCGCAAAUAUGAGAAUUGGAUAUUGGUUGUAUUUGAAGAUUGAAAUGAAACUCUAUUAACUGUAUCGGGCUGAGUCAGAUAUGGUUGGAAUACCAUAGGAUAGGAAGAGUUCACCGAUUUCUUCAACUUCGAGUCGAUGAGGCACUGGAUGCCAAACUGGUGUGUUGGUUGUAUCCAUGUAUCCAUCCAAGUCUGAGUCGUGUUAAUAGGGGUAAAUAAAUAAUAAAGUUCAAUAAUUGAUAUUGAAAUGGCAUGGUAUGUGAAAUGGAAAUGAGAUAGUGAAUUGAAAAAUGAAAGGUGAAAUAUAUUGUGAACAAAUGAAAUAAAUGAGUUAUGUUCUCAUGAAUUGAAUAUGGAAUGAAUAAUGUCAUAAUAUUAGUGAAAUGUGGAUUGAUAUGUGAAAAGUUAUUUAUAUAACAAUUGAUGUAAAUUGAGAUAUUGUUAAACAAAUCCAAUAUGAUAACAUGUGAAAAUUAAGUAUAGUAUGAAAUGAUGUGGUAAUAUGUAUGAAUUUGAAAUAAUGAUAUCUUGUAAUUGUAAGCUUAGACAAUAGUAUGUUGUAUAAUUCAAUUUGAACAUUCAAUAUCAUUAUGACAAUGUUCGGAUUAUAGAAAUAUUACUGAGUUUUACUCAUCGUGUGGUUUUGUUUAACGUGCGCAGGUUAGGUACUUCUCCUUUGAUUACCGACUUAGCAUCCAACAACGAUCUCGAUCUCAAGUGCAAUGAUGUUUACUUUUUGUAAGGGCAUGUACCUAGGAUGUCUUAGUUGGUAGUUAUUUUGUGAAUGGAUUGUAAAUUGAGUUAUAAGUAUAAUGUUGGUUUGAGUAUAUAAGUAUAUGUUUAUGUUUGAAGCCAUAAUUUGGCAUGUAGUUUUAAACCAAUGCUUGUUAGGUGUAAGUGAACUUAAGCUUGAUGUUUUAGAUAGCUAUAUGUUAGGCUAAAUUGAGUGAUUUUGACAUGCUUAAAAUCUUGAUUUAAAUGAUGCAUUAUUGAUAUGUUUUGAUGAUAUAAAAUGUGGUACCAAUGAAGGUACAGUAGUUAGACACCUAAGAUGAUUUUUUGGCAUGUUUUAAGUAUGUUUGAUCAUAUUUUGAGAAGGUUAAAUGAUUGGUUUUUGAGUUGCUUCAUGCCCAAGAAACUAGGAAAUGGUAAACUUGUUGUUUAAGGUACAUUUUGGGUCUACACGGCCAGACACAUGGGCGUGUGACUUGGCCGUGUGAGACACAUGGCUUAGCGACAUGGCCGUGUGUCAUCUGAUGAGUGCUUAGGGUGCAAGUCAGUUAGCAUAUGGCCUGGUAUAUGGGGCGUGUAGGUAUAUUUUGAGAGUUACACGGCCUGACUCACAGACGUGUGACACGACCAUGUGACCUUACUUAGUGAGUUACAUGGGCUGAGACAUGGUCGUGUGUCUCAAGUUCAAAUGUUACACGAGCAAGGACAUGGGCUGGGACACGGCCGUCUGUCCCUAUUUCGAUUGUUACACUGCCUGAGACAAGGGUAUGCGUCUUAGCCAUGUGAGGCACACGACCGUGCGACCCUUGUUUUCAAAUUUUUGUGAAUUUUUCUUAGGGUUUUCAAAUGAAUUCAAAUCGGUCCUAAUUUGUUUCUAAAGUAUUUUUAGGGCCUUGAGGGCUCGAUUUAGGGACGAUAUGUAUAUGUAUGAAUGAUUUAGGUUCUGUUUAUGACAUUGAGUGAAAUUAAAUAUAAAUAUUUUGAUUGUACGAUAAUUCUCAUAACCCUAAUUCGAUGACGGAGAGGGGUUAAGGGUGUUACAUUUAAAUCAACUAAAUUAUGUACGAGCUAUAUAUGGAACUCACUCCAAUACCUAGAACAAUUUCCACCUUGGGUCUGUAGAAUUAACUGUAAUUGACUCUACUUUUUUAAAUAAAACAUCUUGUAAGCAUAUGACGGCAUUUAAAACAUUGUGAUAUAAUCUGCUAAUGAUUUCCCUAGACCUAUUAAAGUGAUGCUUGAUAGCUCGAUUUUUAAGGUGAUGAAAAAUUAUAUGUAAAAACAUUGCCACUUUCUCAUCAACAAGCAUGUUCCUUGAUGACAUCAAUCCCUCUAAAAUUUGUAACAUCUCACAUGGUUUAAAAGAGGUAAUUCUAUUCAUCCUAACUUGUUCAAUACAUGUUUGGUCACUAACAAAUACAAGUCUUUUCACAUAAUCUCGUUUUGCAUAAAGAUCUAAAAUAUAUGAUCUAAUCCUUGGUCUAUAAGUAUGUAGGCUAUGGAUAGCACCCAAUGUAACUAAGAACCAACUCGCAACUGUACACAUUUGCAACCAUACUAUCAAUGUAAGAUCAAUUCUUUUACGCCUCUCACAUUGUACUAUUAAAGGCAGACGAGCCAUUAUUGUAAGAUAUUAAAGUGUUACAUAUCUUCAAAUUAUAGUAAAAUGAUCACAUUUCUUCAAUACUAAUUUUAAUAAUAGUAAAACAAAAUAAAAAAAUUAAUAACCAAAGAACUUAUAGUGAUUUAGUGAAUACAAGAAGCUCAACUGUGGGUGGAGGAAGCAAUCAAGCAAGCCAAAGAAGAAGAGGAAGAAAUAACACACAGUAAAAAAAAUGAACAAUACGUAUUAAGAAUCUUUGCAAAGCACAAAAUAGAAAUUAUAACUAUCUUUGCAAGUAAAACUUGAAAUUCAUUUCUUUAUCAAAUUUCAUUCAACAAAAUCGACUCUUUGUUUGGCAAAUAAUAAUGUCUUGAACAAAAAUUAUAGUUAUUUUAAAAGAAAAAUUAAUGAUGAACAUCUAAACUUGAAAUACAUCCACAUCCAAAUUACAUAAUUUCCAGUUUAUAGAAAUAUACAUAUAUUAUAUGAAUUUUUUUAAAAAUUCAAUAUUUAAUUUACCUUUUAAAAAACUUGUAUUCAUCCUCACAUUGUAAUUAACUAAAUAUACAAAUGGUAGCCACGUAUGGUGGGGUUCGAACCUAGGUGCUUAAGGAUGGUGGGAUGCGAAGUUAAUUUUAAUCUUAUAACCACCAUAAAAGGAUGGUGGCAAAAGCGUCUUUGAUUAAUGUGUCAAAUAGCUAAUUUAUAAUUUAUAUAAAAAUAAAUCAAAUUACAAACCCUUCAAAUAUGCCCUAUUUAGAUUUAAAUUGGUGGGUUUAAUUUUUUUUUGAAAGAACAUUUAAUUACUUAUUUGGGUUUAUUUCAUGUUUGGACUUAAAAAGUAAAAUGCUUGGAUAUGGACUUGGGUUUAAGUAUUUUAAUUAUGUAUAUAAUUUAAUCAUUCCAAUUGUCUCUUUAAAUCGAAUGAAAUUAAUUUGGAUCAUCCUUGGAAUCUUAAUCUCGAAUACCAGAAUAGAAAGAUAAGUUGUUUUUGAUGUCCUAGAGAAAUCUAGCGUGGGGAUAUUAUUUUUUUCUUCAUAAAGUAAACCGAUUUACAUGUCACAAAGCAUCCCAUGCACGUGUCCAUAGAGAAUCAACUUUUAAUCCUACUCGUAAUCUUUUCAACAAGAGGGUGGAAGUCAUUAUAUCUCAAAUUCCUAGUUACUAAUGGUACAACAAGGUACCUAACUAGGAGAGUUCCAAAUUUCAGGCCAGUAGGUUCUACAAUUUCUUACACCUUAAAAUUAAGCAAUUAACUUUUCACCAACAUAACUAAGUUCGUUAGAGUUAGAACAAAAAACAUGGAAGCUAGGCUGUUAGAAUACUAGGUUUUCACACACAAUAAUACCAACUAAAUCUAGUAAAGACACCUCGAUAGCUUAACAUUUUUGUUUUCAUUAACCAUGCCAUAUAUAAGAUGGUCCAGAAAUUGAUCCACCUUGCAUAUUCGAACUUGUGACAUUAAUUAGAUGAUGAAACAUGAUCAUGCAAUGUAACACCACAUGAAGUAUGAAGUAGUGGAUCCUAAUGAACACAUUCUCCUUGAAGAUCAUCCAUUGAGAUCUCAAGCACAUAGUUCGUGUGAAUCCUUCUAAAGCAAUCUUGGUACCUUGAGUAACAAUAAGCUCCAAAGAAACAAACUAUCGAGCAAAUAAACAGCAAUAGAAAAUAAUUCAAUAACUACUCUGAUCCAAGAUAGUAGAUUUCACACCAGAUCGAAUCCAUUUACCGAAAUGAAUUUACUCAAGAGCAUUAAUAAUUAAUAGAUCAAUCUAUUUUACUAAUCUAUGAGUAGCAAAGAAAUAAAUAGCCACAUUCACAUCGCCUCAAACUAAGAUUAACAAAGUUAAUGUAUUGAAACUAGAAGUAGCACAAAUGAACAGAUUGAAACUCAUUCAUCAGACUAGAUUAUCAAAGAGCACCAACUAGACCCAAUAACAUUCAAGAAUAAUAGAAAUAGAUGAAAAUCCUCCAAGCAGAGCAUAAAAGGCACAGAAAAUUAUCAACUAUAGAUGCCACCAGAUUUAGCAAAUACCUUCAAAUGAAGAUAGACAACCACCCUAAAACACUCAAAGAUAUAUUGAUAAACCAUCUAAAUUGAUCAAUCACCCUAAAACAACCAUAAAUGUAUCAUAUCUAACCAAUAAUAUAUUCUAACAGCCAAAUGUCAUCGAAAACUUGAAAACAAACUCAUAAAAGAUAAAGAUUUCAACAUUCUCCAGUUGAUGCAUAAAACAGAGUGAAAUUUGGGAAAAAAAAAAGAAAAACAUUUUACCUGAAUUAACUCUGUUAACAUGAUGAGGCUGUCCAACUAAGUUGUCAUUAGUUGGAUCCUUUUUGGUAGUUCUUUCACACUGCCCCCACUAUUACUGCCUUCGUUGUUUCAUGAUCCAAAACAAGGAAAACACCCACCCAUAAUCAAACCCCAGAAUUAAAAAAAAAACCCAAAAUUAAUACAAAAUGAAGGCAAAUAAACAAAAUAGGGUUUCGAUUUACAUGAAAAACAAGAUCAAAGAAGAGGUAGAAAGGCUAAACUCACUGAAAGCCUAGUAGGAUAAAAAUUUAGAUCCAAGAAGGGAAGAAGACUAACAACAGAGACUGAAAUGGUGAAGUAAGCUGUAACAAAAAAAAGGCAGAAAAAUAUUAUGGGUAAGAAAAAAUGGCAGAGAGGAAAAUGAAAGGAGCAUCGGGAAGGAGAAAUGUUUACCUGAAGGACGCUGGAUGAAGGAGAAGAGUGUCAGAGUCGAAGGAAGUAAGGAAUGAUUGUUGUUUGAGUGUUUUUGAGGUGAGAAUUUGGUGCAGGUAAGAUAGGGUUCUUCAAGCAUCGAAUCAGUAAUCGAUGGAGAGGGGAGGGAAUAGAAAUCACCAAAUUUCCCUGCAUAAGCCUAGAAUGUAAUACACCCGUAAUAGGGUAUUCUAUUGAACCAAACAACUAUUUGUAUGGGCUUGCAGAAUAGACUUGUAAUGGCAUAGCCAUUACAUUAAACCAAAAAUCCCCUUAGGGUCUUCUCUAGAAAGGAGACAUUUUGUUCGUAAAAACAAUCAUAGGGUCAUGAUCAGAGAAAGCAACCGACAGAUUGAAAACUGAGAUUUUUGUACAAUUUUUGAAAUAGUGUUAGUUAGGAAAUGCCAUGUCAAAUAUUUCCUAAACAACAUCAUUUUGUUGUCGAUUGUUUGCCCAAGUGAAAUAGGAGUCCUUAAAAGGUAUUUCAAAGAGGAAGUAACCAUUAAUGUAUUAUAGUAAAUCUUAAGCUCCUUUUAAAUCGUUAGAAAGAUUAGAGAACUUGUCUUUGUACCAAAUGACCUAAUUGCAAUCACCUAAUACUAUCCAACCUUCACUAUCUUUAACAAUUUUAGAUAAAUCCAUGAGCUAUUCCCUAACAUUAUGUCUUCCACACAGUUUAGGUUUACCAUAAAUGUAAGAAAUCUAGGUUUUUAAGUUAUUGUCCUCCAUGUAGCAAGAAAUGCAGUUUUCAUUAAUAGAAAUGACAUUGCACCUAACAUUUUUACACCAAAAUAAAACUGUCCCCCCACUACUAAAGCCUUUGUGAUCUGUGCCAACAAAAGAUUCAAAUUUCCAUUAGACAGUAGCUUUCUAAAACUCAUAUAUGCUUAUUUACCUAAAUGAAAAUUUUCAAUCUUAUGCUAUAUACAUAUAUAUUAUAUACAACUCAUGUACCAUAAAUAAAAAUAACCAUUAUAUCCAAAAUACCAAAUCGACAACUUACCAGUUAAAACCGGUUCAAUCCUGGGUACAUGCCACAUAUUGAAACAUAAAGAACUGUAUGAACAUUUCUUAGUCGAAAGUUGCAAUUUGGAUGCUAGUCAAGUCUCGAGUCUUUAAGAUCUACUAAUACUUGUGCACAGAAUAAAAAGUAGUACGUUGAGUGAGAAAGCUCAGUUGUACUUCCAUGAUUUAAAUCAGUAUAAAUGUAAGCAUUAACAUGAAAAUAAUAUAAUCAAUGUAUGAUCAAGUUUCAACCCUUUCAAUUACCUUUCAUGUACCAAAUACCAAGAUUACGCACAAUCUCAUUUUACGAGCCAUAUGCAUAUUUCAUAUGUAUGAAUACAUGAUAUAUGUAACACCCUUAACUCGAUUCGAUUUGCUAAAUUCAAAUUUUAGGUAUUAACAUACGAGUAUAGACAAAAAUUUAAUCUACUUAUACAAUUUUCAAUUAAAUACAAAUUAACUUCAAACAGACUCGAACUAAUUUACAUAUGUAUAUACAAUAAGUAAAUGCAACUGCAGCAUGUGUUAAUUUAAUUACAAAGAAUAUCUGAAUUGGGAUCCUAUUCUAUUACAGCCAUCCCAGAAUAUGGAUUUCUAAGUAAUCUUUCAGACUUUGAACAUGCCACCAAACACGCUUUGUAUGCAUAACAACUCGAUAUGCCAUUUCUUUUGGCGCAGUCACAGUAUGGUCCCUCCUAGCGUAGAACUUAGUGAGAGUUACAACAUUUACCUAUGUGUUAAUUGCACAUUGCAGUCGAUGAAUCGAAAUGAUGAUCUUAUUGUUCUUGCCCUUAAACCUGUCUUUGGCGAAUACUUUUCUCAAAUUUCAUUAUUUAUAUACCAUAAUAUCAGGCUUCCUUCUAAAAUAAUUUCUUUUCCCAUUAAAGUCUUCAAUACAUCACGCAUGUCUUUCCAUUUGAAUAUUUAUAAAUCUUUAUUUAGUACACACUUCAAAUUAACCCAUUUUUAUCUACAUCUCUUCAAUUCAUUAUUUUCAAUCGAACCAUAGUCUCAUAUAAUACCUUACCGUAUAGGCCAUGGAUGCAUUACACCUUACUGAUUUUACAGAUUACACUCAAAUUUCAUUUUGAAUAUGCCAACCUAGUCAUUCCUUAAUGUGCACCACAAAGACUAUGAUAACACCCCAAAUUCGUAUCUGUUGCCAGAAUAGGGUUACAGAGCAUUACCGUAAAAAAAUAUAAGUUUGAAACAUACACUUCAAACUUCAACAUAAACAUAGCGUAAAUCAUUCACCAACAUGCAUAUCGUCCCUUAAUCGAGCCUUCGAGGCCUUAAAAACACUUUUAAAACAAUUUGAGACUAAAUCGAAAGUGUUUUGAGACUCACAUGGCCGUGUGACUCACACGGCUGAGACUCACGCCCGUGUCUCAAGCCUUGUAACAAUCAAAUUAGGGACACAUGGCCGUGUUUCAGCCUAUGCCCGUACCUGUGUGACUCUCUGAGUUGGAUCACACGGCCAAGUCACAUGCUUGUGUACCGGGCGAUGUAACACUCGAAAUGGCCUUACACGCCUAUGUACCAGGCCGUGUGCUAGGCUGUGUAACUGCCUGACUUCAAACCAUUAAAAACCUACAAUGUGACAUGGUCGUGUGUCACACAUGGCUGAGUCACAUGCCCGUGUCUUAGGCUACGUGGACAAGGAAUUGACCAAAAUUAAGCCAUUUCCUUCACCAAUUUCAAACAUGUACCUACAAGCCAUUUGCACCCUUAACCAAAGCAUCUAAACAUACCAAUUAAAGCAUAAACCAACCAAUUCAAUGAACCAUAAAUCCAUCCAACCAAUAUGCAAACAAGGUACCUCAAAUGCAUUCAACCAUAUCUCACCUAAACAUGGAAACAUUACCACAUUUCAUACAUACCUAUCAAGAUCAAUACCAUUUUAGAAUUUACCAUAUUUUGACCACAUCAAAACUAUUCCAACACAUACCAUAUUGGCUUUUAAAUCAUGCAUUAUAUCUUAACCAGAAUGACACAUACCAUCAAGGCAUCAAAAGUUCCAUAAGUACCAAAAGUUUACCAACUAUAAUAACACAUACAAGAAAGGCAUCAAUAAGUACCAAAAUGACAUUAACCAACAGACAUCAAAUGGUACCAAAAAAACUUAUACAUGCCAACAUCAUCAACUAACAUCCAAUUAGAUACUGAAACAAGUCCUCCUAUACAUGCCAUUAUAAUCUUAUCCAAAACAUCAAAACUACCGCUAUAAUCGUUAGAUGGUGUGAUAGAUCUCCGACAAGCUUCCGAUAAUCUGUAAAGUAAAGAAAAAUAACUACGUAAGCAAUGAAUGCUUAGUAAGCUCGUAUAAACUUUUAACAUAACAUUCCUUUUCAAUAAUGAGUUUUAUAGGGUAAAUAUUAACCUAUACCAAUGCCACAAGAUUUAUAAAACUAUAUAACCAUAAACUCACAAAUGAGUAAAUCCCUCAACAUUACGUAUACUUUUCAUUCAUAAUAUAAUAAGAUCUUAUAAGUUGUAUUACAUAAUCAACAACCUUUUCAUAAGAAGAUGAACCAUUCCAUUUACUUAGCAUAAGCUUAAAUAACAUUAUCAAUUCACGAAUCAGUGUGUUUAUUCAUAACAUAGGUAAAUUCAUCUAUAGCAUAAGUAAAUUUCUCAUAUAUAAGUAAGUUCUUUAACUCCUCAUCCAUUUAACUCAUCAUAAUAUAUCUGAAUUAUGAACUUACCAUUUCAUUACCUUUUCUUACCCGUAUCAUUUACAUAAUACAAGACAUAAGCAUAAACAUCAACCAAUUACACAAGCUUGACACAAGCCUAAAUAUUAUCAUUGAUACACAAGUUAGUGCAUUUAUACCACGUGAUAAGCCAUUUCAUAAGAAAAUAUAUCUUUUGAUUCAUACAACAUCUUCAUGCACAUAAGCAUAUUUCCACUUGGACACUUACCAUUUCGAUGUAUAUCAUUACAAUUAAGCAUGGUAUAAUCCAACCAUAAGCUUAGCACAAGCAUAAGCAUCAUCCACAACACAUGUUGAUGCAUCAACUCAUAAUUCGCUUGAAAUAACAUGAGGUAAAUCAUUAUACAUGAACAACAUCAUUUGAAAUCAUCAAUUUCAUGAACAUAAGUAUUAAACAUUUCCUUUUCAAUCCUUUUCAUAGAUUCAUGACAUAAAUUAUUUGAACACUUACAGUUCCUUUUCUUUCCAUGCCUGUUGAACCACUUAGAAUAAUAUUGGAUACACAGGAAGGCUCACACAAAGUGUGCUAAACAUAUGGUUGAAACCAUUUUCCUUUUCCUUUACAUCAUUGCUCACUCGAGCCAUAAAGUUGGUCUGCUCAAACAAGUUGACGGUCGAAAUGUAAGCUACACGAUGUCGUUCACACAACCUGAUGAGCAUCCGCAACAAAUGCAGGACCUCAGCCAUCGAUAGGACAUUCAAGACCAGCAUCCAAAACAUGGUAACCCCCAAUGACAUGUCAUUUGCAUCCUAUAUAUUCCUAAAGUUCAAAUAAGGCUCGAGAAUCUUCAAUUCAUCAUAGCAUUGAUAUAUUUACACAUAUUGAUUCUUUUACAUCAAAGAAACAUAAUAAUUAUUCAAUCGACGCAACAAUAAAGCAACUAUAGUUCAUACGAACUUACCUGACUAAAUUGCGGCAAUGAUUAAGUACAUGGGUUAUUUGGUAAUUUUCUCUUUUCCUUUAUUUCCACUCGUUCUUAAUCUAAAUUAAAAAUUUCAUUCAAUUCAUUAAUUUAGAUAGCAAAACCAAUUCAUUUUAUGUAAUUUAUUCUUUUUUAAAAAUUUAUAAAAUUUCCCCUAAUAUUUUACUUUUAUUUAAUUUAGUUACUGAGCCUAAAACAUGCAAAUUAACCAUUUUUACUCAAAUUUGAGCUUAGUCGAAUUUACUGGAACCUUACUACAUCCCAUAUUUAAUGUUAUUAUAGAUUUAAUCCUUGUACUUUUACUAUUUUAACAAUUUAGUCCCUAAUGGGUAAAUUCAUCAAAAAUCACUUCACAAAUUACUUAUAAAUAAGAACUAAUACUUUAAAUUCAUCAUUUUACAUCUAGAAUUAAAAAAGAUUCAUUAAUGGAAAAAUUCAAAAUCUUUAACAGUUUCGAAAACGAAGGUACGAGCUAGUUAGACCUAGUUGCAACGAUCUCAAAAACAUAAAAAUUACAAAAAAUGAAUUAAGAAAUCAUAUCAUGCAUGAGUAGCUAAGAAUGUCCAAAAGCUUAAAGAAAAAUCCCUUGAAGCACUCGGUUCCAAUAUAGGAGAAAGAUGAUGCUUAUGUUUCUUUAUUUGUUUCUUUAUCUUUUAAUAAUAUUAUAACAUAUAAAAAACAUAUAAUAUUAAAAAGAAUUAAAGCUUUAACCGUCCACCAACUUAAGAAUGGGUAAUUUAUCCAUUAAGGCCAUCCAAUUAUGUUUGUUUAAUCAAUUAACACCUUUAAACUAAUAGCGAUUGACUUUUUCAACUAUUAUGAUUUAGUCCUUUUUGCUUAAUUAACUCUCUAAACAUUAAAAUUUCCUACCGAAAAUUUAAUACAACCUUAAUAACACUUCGUAAAUAUUUAUAAAAAAUAUUUACGGUUCGGUUUAUAGAAACGAGGUCCCGAUGCCUCAUUUUCUAAAACCACUUGACUUUAGGGCAUACCACUUGAACCUAAUUGUUCUUCUAUUUAACUCAAAUAAUUAAAUAAAAUUUUAUCAAUACAUAUAUUAUUCAUAAAUAUUAAAUAAUAAUAUUUAUGGACUCACACGUCGGAUUUCUGGCCCCGAAACCACUGUUCUGAUACUUCAAAGAAAUGGGUUGUUACAACUAUUCUUUUAGAGUUCGCCAUGAAGGUUAUUCUUUUUUAGUUCGCCACAAAGGCUAUUCUUUCAUAGUUCGCAACAAAGGUUAUUCUUCAUGUCAUGUUUACGAUAUGGAUUUACCUAAAUUCACGAUGCGUGAGGUUUGCCCAGCAUCAUCUUGGGAUAUGUAGAAAACCCCAUUAGGUAAUCACAAUCCUUUAGUUCCUUUUAGAGGUUGUCAUGAUCAUGGCUUAAUAUACAUCUAAGGUUACCAAUCCAGGCUAAACCUUUAAAAUGAUAACAGAUUACCAGUCCAGGCUAAAUCUGUGUCACAUGUAUCUUCGAGUUCACAACAAAUGCUGCAGCUCGAUUAUGAAACAAACUCAUUUUAUAGACAUUUCAUGCACUGAAACAAACUAAGCACAAUUCACUGUUAACAACCAACAUCCUACACAUCUCAUAACAUACAAUCUAGACAUUUAGAUGCAACCAUACGUCACAUCACAUUACUCAUACUUGUACUCAUCAGAUUCUAUACCAAAUAUACAUACUAUCCUCAACAAACAUUCACACAAUCAUAGAUAUCCUUUAAUAAUCCCUCAUAUAGCCACAUACAAACCAUACUAAAACUUUCAAGAUCUCAACAUCACCUUUCAACCAAUUCCCUAUAGAUCUUCUGAUAUGAACAGUACUCCUGCAAAAUUCAUCAUAGAGAUUCACUCGAUUCUCACCUACAGCGGUUCAAAACUCUAGAUAUAGACUUCCAUCAUGCAAUCAAUAGCAACCACUGAUUUGCAUAUUCUACCAUCCUGGGUGGCCUGACAAUGAUGGUUUUCACUAUUUGCAUAUUCUACCAUUCCGGGUGGCCUGACAACGAUGAUUUUCAAUCACUAUAUUGAGGACUCCAUGGUAUGCUAACUAAACUCGACUCUACCCUAAAAAUUUAAUCGAGUAAUUACUAAAUCAAUACACAUAAUAAUCACACAUCAUAGUUUAUAUCAAGCUUUUUUAUGCUAUAUUCAAUUUAAUCUAAUUUUGGACAUUUAAUGCCAUCAUGUAUAAAUCAAGUAAAAAAGCAACCAUACAUUUACCUUAAUAGAUAGAUUUGAAACAAUCACAUAUAUGUAUAUAUGUAUAUAUGCAUGUGUCUAUGUAUUGAUGUAUUGAAUUCAAACUAUAAAAUUACAAAUCAAAGCUUUUGUCACUCGUCUACGACACUAGCUUUUCUUUUAUGUGGAGACGGCCCAGCAUCGUCUUUAGCUAUGUUCAAUAAUUCAAUCAUAAAGCAAUGUCAAUUUCCAUCCAAUUCACAUUCAAAUACAUAGUCAAAAAUAUUUUUCAUUUUAUUCAAUUUAGUCCCUAUAUUCGAGAGACUCGUAUUUUUCAAUAUCUAACAUUGGAUCAAAAUUUAAUUUCACAUUAUUUUAUUAGGGACCCUAUACUUUUAAUAUACAACAUAAUCUCAUGAAAAUUUUCAAUUUGUUCAAUUUAGUCUCUAAUAUAAGAAAAUUAUCUAACAAUCUUAACUUAGUUUUCAAUUUAGUCCUUUACAUAAUCUAAGUUCACUAUCUUGUGAUCUCUUCAAUUUCAAGCCUAAUUCAUCAAUUUUUUCUAAUGGCAACUUGUCAAACAUCUAAUAAUUUACUAAAUUAACACAUGGGCUAACUAAAUCAAGCUCCCAUUAUCAAGAAUCUAUAAAAAAAAUGAAGAAAAUGACUUGAUUACCUUAGUUAAUUUGGGACAAAAAUGAAUAAGAAGGCUUGGAGAAAUUUCUUCUUUCCUUUUAACUUAGGACGGCAAAGUAAGAUGGAAAAGAUGAAAAUGUUUUCAGCUUCCUUAACUUGUUUAAUUAUGAUUAGUUUACAAAACUAAUAUAUAUUUAUCCAUAAUUGUAAUUAUAGAAACUAAGUGGAUGUCAUAAUCAAUUCCCACAAUUACAUAAGAAAUAAUGGUUUAAUAACCAUUUUGGUCCUUUGCAUAAUUACUAACUAGGUCCUCAAGUAUUUUAUAAAUUAAAAUUCAAUAGAAAUUAGAUUUUUACAAGUUAGUCCUUGAGUUUUAAUUAACGGUUUUCUCGAUUAAAUUACUUAACUGAUAUUCAAUAUGUUUUCAUAAUAGCUCAAUAAAUAUUCUCAUUUUACCUUUAUGGACUUAAUUCACAGAAAUGAGGUUUCGAUUUUUUAACACCACUUAAAAUCAAGUCGUUAUAUUAAUAUUCUCAAGGACACCUUUAAUAUUUUGGUCAGCAACAUGAAGAACAAAGUUAAAAGAAAUUGAAGCAGGGUUUAAAUAUCUCAUUAUAAGUUCUUAUCAUAUCUAUUCUUUUUGAUACAAUACUUAAAACUACUCAUAGCCCCUCCCUAACCCUUAAAUAAGAGGUUAAUACACUUCAGCGUACUCAAAUCCACGUCCUCCUGCAUUGGCAACAUUGCCGAUACCAAUCGAGUUAAGACUCAAUCGGUAACACUUCAUUAUUAAGUAAACUUAAAAAUUUAUAUAUCCUUAAAAAAUAAAAUUUUUCUUUCAUUUAUAGAAAUUUCAAAUUAAGAUAUUUUAAAAUAUACUAUUUUAAAAUGUUAGUAUUUGUAAUUAUUUUUGUUUGAAUAAAUUCUUUUUAGAAAAAAAUUUAAAUUAUUAAAAUUUUAUGAGUUAAAAAAAGUAAAAGAAAAAUAAUUAUGUUAAAAAUAAAUAAUAUUGUUGAGGUUUUCUCUUAUUCUCCCUCUCUUUGGAGCAACUCGUUCAUAUUUAUAAGGCACGAUCCCUUAAUGUGACGUGUUAGUGUCGCAGGCUAAAGUUCAAAGCUCGUGGCCAUGGUACAAGAUGUGCCUCAUGGAAGCCUAUCGAUUAGAUGGGAAAUAUUUAGCCCACGAGAACUGGCUCGAUUCAAAGAACUGUUAGAGAAGCCUAUAAGAGUGAAGUCUGGUCGGCCCGAUAAUGAAGAUAUGACAACUUAGGUUAUUUUUAGUAAAUAGGGGAAUCAUAUCUUGUAGAUUUGAUUUGAUAUAAUGUAAUUUUGUAAAUCCCUAAAAUCAAGGGAUAGGCUAAUCUCGUCCAUCAAUGUAAUUUGAUCUUAACCGUCGGUUUUGAGGAAGCUCAACCAUAAAUAGAGAGCCUCUCUCUCAUUUGUAUCUCAUCCAUUGUAUGUUGAAUUCUUAAGAGUAAUAGCAUUCUUUGAGCAUUUACUCAAACACAUUUUGUGCAUUCUUUCUUUGGCUUUCUAUUGUUCAUCUGUACCUUCUUUUAGCACAAUCGCUUCCACUAUACGAAUUGGCACCUUAGAGGAAUUAAAAAGGAAUCCUAACUUUUGGGAGUAAAGGCUGACUUAGGCGAGUUUGGAGCGAACGAAUCGCCUAAGGUCGCACGGAUUGCGAGACGAAAGAUCUAGCCCCAUAACAAGUGGUAUCUGAGCUAUUGGUUCGAAGGCACCAUUGGGAUGUCGAAAAAAGUUGUUGAUCAGAAUGAGCCAAUGCAGACCCGUGGGAGGGCCAAAAAAGUAAGUUACUCGAGGGACAUGCUGACAGCUUUUGAAAAUUGAGUUGUUAAUCUCGAGGAUUCUGUAAGUAACAUGAAGGAGAUGCUUGAGUUGGUCGAGGGACGCACCGAUGGGUUUGACUCAAUAGAGGAGCAACUCAGAGAUUUUGUGUUGGAUUCUCUCGGUGCCAAUACGAAAAAGAUGAAUGAAUUAGUCAAUUCCACCACGACAAUGCUGGCAGAUAGGGAUGAGAAUCUUGAGGAUAUGGUGUUAGCCAUGAAGAAGGAAAUAUAAGAGCUCAAGGGGGAGCUCACGAUUUACAAAGCUACUCUGAGUAAUGGGAUGUUGUCUUCAAGGCCGAAGCAACAAGCAAUGGAUGUUCCCAAACCGGAGAAGCUUAAGGGUGUUGGAUCGCCGGCACCCCUACGGCGCAGCGAAAAAAAAUAAAAUCGGUGACCCUAACCAUGGAUCCAUGUGUGAAGAACGAAUCGGGGUGAAAAGAUUACGAAAUUACCUAAUAUUUCGAUUGAGAAGACAGUAACUUCUCGACAAUGUGUAGUCUGAUCUACAGUCAAACCAAGCCGCAAUCUAUCAAGACUCCGACCUCUACGUAAUCCACCCAAUUGACUACGAACGGAAGAAAAAUCCCCAAAACAGUUUUGAGAGUUAUAUUUCUUUGACGGCUGCUAAACCUUAAAAUAAUGAAAAAUAGGAUUCUGAUAUAUCCCUUUUAUUUUUAGGGUUUUUUUAGAAAUUAAAUAAAUAUAAAAUAUUUUAAACCGAAAAUUAUAAUUACAUUAAUUAUAAUAUAAUUUCGGUAAACCAUAUAUUUAUUUAAAUUCAUAUGCUAAUCAAAUUCAUGUCCUCAUUAUAUGUACAACAACCUUGUACAUAAUGUGUUGGAAAUUUGAUUACUGAAUUAAAUUAAUUCUAUAAUUAAUUUAAUUCAAGUGACACCCAAAAAUAAAACCAACUAUGGUUUAUUCCGUUCAUUUCCACUAUAGGGUGUGACCCUGUAGGUUCCUGUAACGUUAGCAGUAAUACUAGAACGAUUCCAAUGUUACAAACAAUGAGUGGCAUCUAGCAAUGCAUCAUUGCUACCUAAGUCACAAGAGAUCAUGAUUCGACAUAACCUUUUAUGAUUAACCUUUUAUGCAAUAAUCCUUAAGUCAUUUAUCUCUGGAUUGGACACAAGUCAUGGAAUAGUCACACUUGUAUAGUCCAUUACAUGUUCCUUGAUAUCUUAAGCAGACUACGAUAUACAAAUAAGUAUGACAUCUCAUAUCAACUUAUUUGAGCAUGGCCAUGCAUUUCUAGUCUUACUUAAUCAAGUGGCCUAAGAUAUUACUCCCAUUAUGUAGGAGGGACUUAUUCUAUAUCGGCCAACCAUAUCCCUCUACAUCGAUUGUGAUAUAUCCAACAUCAGCCUUCAUAGAACAACCAGUUACGGUGUACGUUUAACUAUAUCAAAAUAUAUUACUCACAAUGUUGGGAUUAUGAUGAUCUCAAGUUUGAGGAUCAUAUACAUAUUAAUCACUAUGAGUAAUGCCGUGACAAUUACAUAAUAAUCCAAGAGACAUGCCCAUAAUGGGUCAGUCUAAUAUGUUGUUCUCUAACACACAUAUUCAUGCAUCGAUUCUGACAUUCCAUAUCAAUGACAACUCUUUAUCAUCAAUCAACUACAUGUUAGUCUUAAUGCAUUAUCGUUGUCCUAUCCAACAAUAAUACUUGACUAAGGAUCUUUUAAGAAUAAUCAUAUUAUUCUUAGGACAUUAUUAUAAAACAACUUAUUUAUACACACAGAAAAGAAACUGAAAUAAUAAUGGUAACGCCUUAUAUUAAUAAACAUGAUAAAUCAAGUAUGUUAUUACAACCAUCUCAUGAUUAGUCUUUGGGCAUACUCUAACAAUCUCCCACUAGCACUAAGACCAAUCACUUAUAUAUCUAAUACCAAGUGACUUAGUGUGACGAUCAUGCUUCUGCUGUGUCAGAGGCUUGGUCAAGGGAUCAGCAAUGUUAUCAUCUGUAGGUACCCUGCAUAUCUCUACAUCCCCUCGAUCGAUAAUCUCUCGAAUAAGAUGAUAGCGCCUAAGUAUAUGUUUGGAUCGCUGGUGAGAUCUAGGUUCUUUAGCUUGUGCAAUGGCUCCAUUGUUAUCACGUCGGAGUUCUAUAGCAUCUGAUAUGCUAGGCACAACCCCUAGUUCAGUAAUGAACUUUUUGAUCCAAACUGCUUCUUUUGCUGCCUCACUGGCUGCAAUAUACUCGGCCUCUGUUGUAGAAUCGGCUACUGUACUUUGCUUUGAACUCUUCUAGCUCACAGCACCACCAUUAAGGCAAAAUAAAAAACCUGAUUGUGAUCGAGAAUCGUCCUUAUCAGUUUGGAAGCUGGCAUCAGUGUAACUUUUUACACUUAACUCUUCCUCACCUCCAUAUAUUAGGAAAGUAUCAUUAGUCUUUCUCAAGAACUUAAGGAUAUUCUUGACUGUGGUCUAGUGACCUUCACCAGGAUCUACUUGGUAUCUGCUCGUCAUGCUUAAGGCAUAUGAGACAUCUGGACGAGUACAUAACAUGGCAUACAUGAUAGAUCUAAUAGCGGAAGCAUAUGGAAUUUUACUCAUGCAUUCUCUCUCUUGUGGAGUUGAAGGACACAUUUCCUUCGAGAGUGAAAUACCAUGUGUCAUAGGUAGGAAUCCUCUCUUAGAUUCUUUCAUACUGAACCUUUUCAGUACUUUAUCUAUGUAUGUACUUUGGCUUAGACCUAAUAGUCGUCUUGAUCUAUUCUAUAGAUCUUUACUCCUAAGAUGUAAGUGGCUUCGCCCAAGUCCUUCAUGGAAAAACAACUUCCUAACCAAGUCUUAAUAGACUGCAGGGUAAGUAUGUCAUUUCCCAUGAUAAGUAUGUCAUCCACAUACAGUACCAAGAAUGUUAUAGUGUUCCAACUAACUUUCUUGUAAACACGUGGCUCAUCUUCAUUUUUGAUAAAUCCAAACUCUUUGAUUGCAUCAUUAAAUCGAAGAUUCCAACUACGAGAAGCUUGCUUUAAUCCAUAAAUGGAUCUUUGUAGCUUACAUACCUUUCUAGCAUCAUUUGGAUUGACAAAACCUUCAGGUUGUGUCAUGUACACAUCCUCUUCAAGUUUCCCAUUAAGGAAAACUGUUUCGACGUCCAUCUGCCAGAUUUCAUAGUCAUGAAAUGCAGCUAUAGCGAGCAAGAUCCUGAUGGAUUUAAACAUAGCUACAGGAGAAAAAGUUUCAUCAUAGUCAACACCAUGAACUUGGCGAAACCCUUUAGCGACUAAUCGCCCCUUGUAUGUUUGUACGUUACCAUCCAUGUCGGUUUUCUUUUUGAAAACCCACUUGCACCCUAUGGGCUUAACCCCUUCGGGUGGGUCAACCAGAGUCCAUACUUGGUUUUCAUACAUGGAAUCCAUCUCAGAUCUCAUGGCUUCAAGCCAUUUUUCAGAGUCUGGGCUCGUCACCGCUUCUUGAUAAGUCCUAGGCUCAUCUUGAUCUAUAAGUAGAACGUCACCAUGCGUUGUAAUGAGAAAUUCAUAUCUCUCGGGUGCUUGGCGUUCUCUUAAAGAUCUACGCGGUGGUUGUGUUUCUACAGCAAUUACUUGUUCCUCAAUCCCUUAUGGAAUUUGUUGUUGUUCUAUCUCUGGUUCAGUGAUAUUUUACGAUUCUCAAACUUUAUCAAGUUUAAUCUUUUUCCCACUUCCUUUUCUAGAAACAAAUUCUCUCUCUAGGAAGACACUAGUCCGAGCAACAAGUAUUUUGUUCUCAGUGGGAUUAAAGAAAUAAUAUCCUUUGGUUUCUUUUGGAUACCCCAUAAAAACACAUUUUUUAGAUUUGGGUUCAAGCUUAGUAGACGUCUGACGUUUAACAUAAGCUUCGCAGCCCCAAAUUUUUAUAAAAGACAUACUGGGAUGUUUCCCAGUCCACAUCUCAUAUGGUGUCUUUUAAACCGAUUUAGAUGGAACACGAUUUAGUGUGAAAGCAGCUGUCUCAAGUGCAUGUCCCCAAAAAAAAGUCGGCAGAUCAGCAUGACUCAUCAUGGAUCGAACCAUGUCUAAAAAAGUUCGAUUUCUUCUUUCAGAAACUCCAUUCCAUUGAGGAGUACCAGGAGGAGUAAGUUGUGAGAUAAUCCCACAUUGCUUCAAAAGAUAAUCAAACUCUAAGCUCAUAUACACCCCACCUCGAUUAGAUCGAAGUGUCUUGAUAGUUUUUCCUAGUUGAUUUUGUACUUCAUUUUUGAAUUCCUUGAACUUUUCAAGGGAUUCAGACUUAUGGCGCAUGAGAUAGACAUGCCCAUAUCUACUAAAAUCAUCAGUGAAAGUAAUGAAGUAGUGAAACCCUCCUCUAGCCUGUGUAUUUAUUGGCCCACAUACAUCAGAAUGUAUUAAGCCCAAUAAAUCACUAGCUCGUUCACUUUUACCAGUAAAAGGAGAUUUAGUCAUUUUUCCCUGUAAGAAAGAUUCACAUACUUCAAAUUGUACAAAAACAAAUGAAUCCAAGAGACCAUCUUUAUGGAGCUUGGAUAUGCGUUCCUCACUUAUGUGGCCCAAACAACAAUGCCAUAGAUAAGUUUGAUUUGAGUCAUUUAUUUUUGAUCUUUUAGUAUUUAUGUUGUAGAUGGGAUUUGUUUGAUCUAAAAUAUAGAGGCCAUUAAUCAAUUCUGUCGAACCAUAGAAAACAUUAUUGAGAUAAAAGGAACAACAAUUAUUCUUAAUAAUUAUCUCAAAACUAAUUUUGUCUAAACAAGAAAUUGAAAUAAUGUUUUUAGUCAAACUGGGCACAUAAUAACAAUCCUCUAAACAUAAACCAAGUCCACUAGGCAAAGAUAAAUUAUAUGUUCCUACAGCUAAUGCAGCAACUUUUGCUCCAUUUCCAACUCGUAAGUCCACAUCUCCUCUAGCCAAAGUCCUACUCCUUUGCAGUCCCUGUAUAGAAGUACAAAUGUGAGAACCACAACCAGUAUCUAAUACCCAUGAAGUAGUAGUUGAUAAAUUAAUAUCAAUAACAUAAAUACCUGAAGCAGACAUUCCGCUUAUUUUGGCCUUCUUGACUUCCUCAAGAUAGAUAGGGCAGUUCCGCUUCCAAUGUCCAGUCACACCACAAUGAAAACAGUUUCCUUCCUUAGCCACCCCUCCUUUAGGUUUCAAUGCAGCAUUUACUUUUCCAGGCUUGGGCCUACAUUUGCCCUUGGGCUUUGUCUGAACUUUGGCCUUUCAUUUGCCCUUAUUAUUACGGACCAUCAGUAUAGGCUUGGGUCCAACCUUUUUCAUAUUGCCUUCAGCAGUUCGUAACAUACUGAGCAACUGUGGUAGAGUCUUAUCAAUUUCAUUCAUAUUAAAAUUGAGGAAAAACUGGCUGUAACUAUCCGGCAAUGAUUGCAGAAUAACAUCAGUGGCCAAUUCUUGGCUCAAUGGAAAACCAAGCUUAGACAGGCUUUCAAUAUAGCCAAUCAUCUUAAGGACAUGAGGUCCUACUGGGCUUCCUUCAGCGAGCUUACAUUGGAAUAGGGCCUUAGAGAUAUCGAACCUCUCUUGCCGUGCUUGCCCCUAAUAAAGUUCUUUCAGGUGCUCAAUCAUUUCAUAAGCAACCAUGUCCUCAUGUUGCUUCUGAAGCUCAGGAUUCAUAGUGGCAAGCAUAAGACAUCCAACGUCUACCAUGUCAUCGAUAUGCUUCUUGUAAGCAUCUCUAUCAGCCCUCGAGGCAUUAGUGGGUGGUUCGUUAGGAACUGGUUGUUCACUGACAUAUAAUUUCUGUUCUUAUUUGAGGACAAUCCUCAAGUUACGGAACUAGUCAAGAAAUUUUAAAUCAUUUAACUUGUCCUUCUCAAGGACCGAUCGCAAUGAUAGUGUAUUUGUGUUUUCAGCCAUAAUAUAUCUACAACAAUGAAAUUAUGCGUGUGAAAAUUUAUCAAAUUUAUAUCAAACAUUAAAAUGCCUUAAUUAAAUGAUGUUCCCACUAUUUUAUUACAAAACUAAUACCCUCAUAGAUUAGUUUCGGAAAGACUUUCUCGAAAAGUAUUUCAAGUGGGUUAAGGAUCCAUAUUUCACCUCCUCUUAAGUCAGCUUUGGCUUUACUCUCAAGAUUAUGGUUAUCUAGGUAAGCAACACUUUGCUAAUUACAUCAUAUGUAACUCCUAAAGUUUGGUGAACAACUCUUGUUCUAAUCAUCUUAUGAUUUACCCAAAUAACUCGCCUCUAGGUUUCUAAUCCUAUUAGAAUAACAUAGUUAAGUCAUUAACCAAUUUUAACCAGCGAAUAUCACUUGUUUAUUCUUCGCGUUUAACCAAGAUAAAUACUAGUACUUCGCUUUAGCAGAACUUACACAGUAUUGAUCGAGGCCUUAACGAGGGAAAAAUUGGAAGGCUAUGUUGACUUAAUAUUUUAAUAGAGGGAUUUUAUUAAGAUCAGUCCAUCUCACCAAUUACGGUUUACUUUAGUCCAUUUAGCCAUUUAAUUGAUCUCAUCAAUUAAUGUGGUUCAAUAUUAUCAAAUUUUAACAUGUUUAAAAAGUUGGCAUGCUUUAGACAUCCAUAGCAUCUCAUACAUGAAUACAGUAAUAAAUAAAUGCAAUAGUUAUAGCCCAUAAACUAAGGUGGUGCAACCCAAGCCAAUGGGAGAACCAAAAGGAAACCUAAAGGUGAAAGCCGGUUUUCAAGCUAUCAUUCCACACUGGAUGGCCCAUCUUCCUUCUCGACUAGCCCAUAGCAACUAUUGCAAAUUACAAUAUGUAGAAACUUGUUUUACAUACGAGGGAGUAAGAUGAGAAAAGAAAUAUAAGAGAAUAGUAGUAAGGCACGACACGUAGACCGUAUUUAUAAAAUUACAACCUUUUAUCAAAUGGGCUGUUGGGCUAUAACUAUGCAUUUCAAACACCGUUCAUGUCAAAAAUUAGCAUUUAUAAAAACACUUUAUUAAGAUGAAUUAUAACAAAUCCUUUCAACUUUUAUGGCCCACCAAGUUUUAUUUAUUAUAAACAUAAUUUAAGAAGAUGGGGGCUGAGGCGGCAGAGGGAGCGGGCGGAAACAGUGUCCUUUGUUGAGCUUGGUCCAACGAAAGACAAGUUUGAGUCGUCUAAGCGUAAUGGAAAAGGGCAAUGGUGAGAGAAACCAUGAGGAAGAUGAAGAGGGACAUAGUGAUGAUGGCAACAGUACCGAUAGGACAAGUGGCAACGAGAAACCACGAGAUACGAAGUGGGGAUCCAACAACUCAAUGGACAAGGGAAAGAGGAUAAAAUGCUUCCUUUGUCAAGGACCACACAUGGCGCGAAAAUGUCUGAAGAAAUUGAUGAUUUCGACGAUCAAAAAGAAAGAUGAGCCAAAGGAAGAGGUGAAGCCUAUUGAGGGAAAUACGUCGAGGGUCAAUUCGAUGGUGCUCAUUCCUAAGAAAAGGAAUGGUGAAAAAGGGGUGAUGUUUGUGGACAUCAAUAUUGCGGGUCAAAAGCGAAGUGCUCUUAUUGAUAUGGGAGCAUCGAACUUGUUCAUAUCAGGAAAAGCUGUGAAAAAGCUUGGUCUGUCGAUUAAAAAAUCGAAUAAGAAGAUCAAGACAGCAAAUUUUGAAGAGGAUCUAAUUGUGGAGUAGUUCGUAAUGUGGAGCUGCAAUUCGGCUAAUGGAAGGACAAGGAAGACUUUAAGGCAGUCCAAUUAGAUUAUUACUAUAAUGUACUUGGUUUAAACUUCCUUGACAGGAUUCAGACAGUUCUAUUUCCAUGGGCUAAUGAAAUUCAUAUUGUCAUUGGUCCAUUAUCAAAGAUUGUUGUGUUAGUGCAUCACGAUAUGAAGGUUGGGACCAAUGUGUUGUUGUCAAUCCAACUAGUCGAAGAUGUUUCGUAUGGGAGAAAUAUUAACGCGAUAGAACGGAAUGCUAUAAAAGCCCCUUCAAAAAAGUUAAUGGAGCAUAGACCGAUAUGAGACCUGUGGAGUCGACUGUAGAGCCGUCACCUUUAGGGAAGGUGGAUUGUGUACCAAACUUUGAAGGGAAAGAAGUAAUGCAAAAGCAGUCGAAAUGAGUAAAUGCUGUGAGUAAGGUACAUUGCAAACACUUUGAUAGUGUUUUGAAUUCUGACUUGUUGGCUUGGCAAGGUCGUAGGGGCCCUUUCAAAGUUCUUAAGUAAGGAGGCCGAGGGACUGUGGGUGGUACAAAGCCAAGAUGUGAGAAUCCAGGGGAUUCUAAUAGGAACAAGUCAAAAUUGGGGCAAGUUAAAGCGGAGACUUCUUGCCAACGGGAUGUACAAUAAGUGCAACGGUUCAAGUUAAAAGGCAACGGAAGCCAAGGCAAAGGUUCCGAAGGAAAGGGCAACUCAAUCACAAGACAAGUCAGGAAUAAGCUAAGGCAACGAGAAAGUUCCAAGGUGAAUCAAGUCUGUGUCAUUCAGAAGUUGCAACGAAGGCAUUGCGAGAAUAGGUGGGGGAGAAUGUCACGGGCCAAAGUGCAAAGCCCGUGACCAUGCAUAAGAUGUACCCCAUGGAGGUCUAUUGAUUAGAUGGGGAACAUUUAGCCCACGAGAACUGGCUCGAUUCAAAGAACUGUUGGAGAAGCCUGUCAGAUUGAAGCCUGGUUGGCCAGAUAAUGAAGAUAUGGCAACUUAGGCUAUUUUUAGUAUGUAGUGGAAUCAUAUCUUGUAGAUUUGAUUUGAUAUGAUGUAAUCUUGUAAAUCUCUAAAAUCAAGGGAUAGGCUAAUCUCAUCCGCCGAUGUAAUUUGAUCUUGACCGUCAGUUUUGAGGGAGCUCAACUAUAAAUAAAGAGCUUCCCCCUCAUUUAUAUCUCAUCCAUUGUAUGUUGAAUUCUUAAGAGUAAUAGAAUUCUUUAAGCAUUUACUCAAACACUUUGUGUGUAUUCUUUUUUUGGCUCUCUAUUGUUCAUCUGUAGCUUCUUUUGGCACAAUCGCUUCCGCUAUACAAAUUGGUGCCUUAGAGGAAUUCAAAAAGAAUCCUCACUUUUGGGAGUAAAGACUGACUUAGGCGAGUUUGGAGCGAAUAAAUUGCCUAAGGCUGCACGGAUUGCGAGACAAAAGAUCUAGCCCCGUGACAUUAAGGGACCAUUAGGUGCCAAGAGCAUGAAAUAUUCACCCCUAGCUCGACACGUAAUCUGAAACGUGUCUCUCCCCACUAGGUGGUGAGAUGAUCACUAUAACACCCUUAACUCGUCUCUAUCACUGAAUUAGGGUUAUGUUAUACUACGAUAGUUAACAAGUCUGAUAAUAUCUUAAAACAAUUCAAAAAUCAAUUUAAACAUCAUAUAUCAAUAUUCAAUCAUUAUUCACAGCAUAUAAACAUAAAUGAAACUUAAAUCGGGCCUACGAAACCUAAAAAUCAGUUUAGAAACAAGUCAUUUAAAUAUACAUUUCAUUUAAAUCAUUAUUCACAGCAUAUAAGAGUAAAUUGAACUUAAAUAACAUCUUUUAGCUAUGGUCUUAUUCAUUUGAAUCAUGAUUAACCUGCUCAUAUCCAUUUAAUAUUAUAUACCAUUCAAUUCACACAUACUCAUUUACCAUGCUUCACAAAUCAAUCUAACAUUUCCAAUUUUAUGACUUACCUCAAUCAUGAUAACUAUAGUAUAUAUAAACAAGCACACAUAUAAUUGAAUUCAAAUCAUUAAAAAUAUAAUAAACCUAAUACGAACUUACCUAAACCAAUUCUGCAGCAAAAACAACCCCAACUUCUGAUCAUCAAUUUUUCCUUUCCCGUGUUUAUCAAUCGACUAAUACAUUUCUUGAUGUAAAUAUAUUAAUUUUAUUCAACUAAUCGAUUCAAAUAUCAUAAAAUACUUAAAUUCACAUUUUUUGACUCUUUAUCAACAUUUUACCUUUUAUUCAAUUUAGUCUCUAAACCCAAAACUUUUAAAUUGAACACAUUUAAUCCCAAACCAUACUAGAAUAAUUUCAUAUAGUCCUUUUACAUCCCAUAUUUAACACAUUUGCACAAGAAUUUCAUACAAUUUUACUAUUUUAACAACUAAAUCCCUAAAUACAAAAUUAACAAAAUUUACUUAAUCAAAUAAUCCUUAGACAUUUCAUAGCUUCCAAAUCCAACAAUUUCUAUCAAAAACACCUAAGAUUCAUCUAUGGGAAGUUUUAAAAUCUUUAACAAUUUUAAAAUCGGUGAUAUGGGUUAGCUGAAUCUAGUUGCAACAUCUCAAAAAUAUAAAAAUACUAAAAGAAGAGCUUGAAUUUCAUACCAUGCAAGGAGAUUUAAAGCUUGGUUGAUUCUUCCUUCAAGCUUCAAUGGUGGUUUCAAUUAAAUAAAAAUAAAAUGAAGAAGAUGAUGACUAAUUACCUUUUGUUUUUUUUAAUAUUUUAAUAAUAUUAUAACAUAUAAUUCUUUUGAAUUAAAACAUUUUAAACAUAAAAUUAUUUUCGCCCAUUAACCGUCCACACUAACUAAAAUAAGUUCUAAUUGCAUUUUAAAACCUUCAUUUAAUACUUUUAUAACCAUUUAAUACAAAUAAACUUAUAGCGAUUAAUUUUUACAGUAUUUACGAUUUGGUCCAUUUUACUAAAUUAAUUAUCUAAACGUUAAAAUUUUUGGACCAAACUUUAAUACACCUAUAUAACCACUCCGUAAAUAUUUAAUAAAAAUAUUUACAAGCUCGGUUAAUAGAAACGAGGUCCCGAUAUUUCGCUUUCCAAAACCACUUGACUUUAAGGACAAACCACUUGAACUAGACUAUUCAUUUAAAUAAAAAAAAUUAUCAAAUUAAAAUUUGCUAUAAUAUUAUAUUUGACUCAUAAAAAUUAAGUAAUAAUAUUUACGGGCUCACUCAUUGGAUUUAUGGCCUCGAAACCACUAUUUUCAACACCAUUGAAAAAUAGAUUGUUACAAUCACACUUUGCGUGAUGUUUGUGAUGGGUGGCUUGUGACCUUGCAAGGUUGUGAGGCAAGAUGACGACGACGAAAUGGUUAAAUGAUAAUGCCUUGGUGAGGACAUCUUCACAAGAUGGUGAGGCACUUCGAUGGCCUAAGAGUUGGGCUCAUGAGAUAUUGCGAGGUGGCAAAGAUUACCUUGCGAAGUAAGAAGGCAAUGGCUGGCUUGCGAGGGCUCGUGAAGUGGCAACGGACAGGAAAUGGGCCUCGCAAAGUGAUGAUGGACUUGUGAGAUGGCAAGGCACCAUAGCUGGCUUGCGAGAUGGGUCGGGCUUCUCGUUUCAUAUGGUCGAGUUGAAUUUUAAGUUUCUCAAAUAUUCUAUAACAAAUAUAUAUAUAGCUUAUAUAUAUAUAUAAGCAAUGCAAAAAUCAUUAUAUUCAUGAAAAUAUAUAAGUUUUUAAAUAAUAUAAAUAAAUAUUUUGAAGUUUAACCCUUUUUUUAUUUUGUGGUAAGGCAUAUAAAUGAAUUAAAAUUCUAAAAAAAUUUUGAAAAAUAGGACCUUUUGAAAUUUUUUAGUAUUUUUGUUCAAACAAGUUAAUUUAUUUUUGGAAAAUUUAAAACAUUAAUAAAAUGAAAUCUCUUAUCUGAAUUUCUCUUCUAAAGAGAAUUUUUUUUAUUUUUAAAGUUUUUUUAUGGUGUUAUAAUUUAUUUGGCCUCUAACUUUAUGAAAAAAAAAUAUUGUAGAAAAAAAUUUAUUGUAGCCAUUCAUUUAAAAUUUCACAUUUUUUAAUUCUUAAACUUGUGUAUUUAUCAAAUUACUCCAAUAUGGAUGGAAAAGUUAACAUUUUUUAACUUUAUUGAUGUGACAACAUGGAUUAUCAUGUGGAUAACAUUAAGUAUUUAAUUGACUUAUUAAAAUUUUUAAAAAUUAAAAGUAUUAUUUUUAAAAAUUAAAAAUCAUUAAAAUUAUUUAAAAAGUAUAAAAAAUUUAAUUUUUUAGAAAAGUAAUUACAUGCUGACAUGUCGUACAUGUGGCAAUUCACAUGUAUGCCACAUCAACAAAGUUGGCAAAAGUUAACUUUUCUAUCCAUUUUGAGGUUAUUUGACAAAAAAUGCAAGUUCAAUGGCUAAAAGAGACGGAAAAUUAAAUGAAGAGCCAAAAUAAACUCUUUUGUAAAGUUGGAAGACAAAAAAGACAUUAUACAUUUUUUUUAAUGAUGAAGUGUGAACACUUAUUAACUAUCAUGAUAUUUAUGCUUUAUUUAAACUCUUGCUUGUGUUACUAUCACGAGCUAAUUAGACACCAACUCAAUUGAAAAUUAACCAAAAAAAUCCUUUAAAAGUAACAAAUAUUAUUAUUAAAUUAUUUUCAUUUUUAUAUAAAACCUUGUAAAAACAAUUGAAACCUAUAAUAAAUAUGUCAAUGAUGGACUUCAACCUAGAAUAUUAAGAUCUUCAAUGUUUCAAUUUUGCUAUUCCAACCAAUAAUUAAUUUAGUUUUUAUAUAAUUUUUUAAAUAUAUUUAUAUAAUAUUUUUCAGGUUAAUAUAAUUUAAUAGAACUAUAUUUGUGAUGUAGAUAUGCAUCAAAUAUAAAUUUUAUCAAAGUGGAAGUUUCCUCGUAAACACGUCCACCCGGCUAUGGUAGAAUAGUCCAAUAACUUAGAUCACAUAGACCCCUAGUCAAUACGAUAUGGAAAACAUUACCCUAUAAAUAUCUCCACUGCCCUCUCAUCCUUUGAAUGUGGAGUCCUUAACUAUGGGAAAAUAGCUACUAACAUAUGUUCUCGUAGGACUACUAGUUGCUUCCGCUAUAACCCAAACCGUGUUGGCUCAAAACUGUGGCUGUGCGCCAAACUUGUGUUGCAGUCAACAUGGUUAUUGCGGUCAGGGUAACGAUUACUGUGGCACUGAUUGCAAAGAAGGCCCUUGCUUCUCCAAGUCUCCCACUGGUGCUUCAGUUGCCUCCAUUGUUUCACCUCAGUUCUUCAACGGGAUAAUCAACCAAGCUCGUGCAGAUUGUGCAGGCAAGAAAUUCUAUACACGACAAGCUUUCCUGACUGCACUUGAUUAGUUGAUUCCUUUCCCGAUUUCGGAAAAUUGGGUUCUGAUGUUGAAUCCAAGCGUGAGAUUGCUGCUUUCUUUGCCCAUGCCACCCAUGAGACUGAAUGUAAAGCUCUUUUUCCUUUGAACUAAACCACAGAUUCAAAGCCAAUUAUAUAGUCCUAAAUCUGCUGUAUUUGUAUAUAUUCUUAUUUUUGCAGUCUUUUGCCAUACAGAAGAAC
This 76324-nucleotide long non-coding RNA is filed under the name Gossypium barbadense (sea-island cotton). Its description in RNAcentral is "long non-coding RNA (GBAR_LNC019882)". Lineage: Eukaryota; Viridiplantae; Streptophyta; Magnoliopsida; Malvales; Malvaceae. The record is from RNAcentral.